This 53158-nucleotide long non-coding RNA is filed under the name Coffea arabica (coffee). RNAcentral describes it as "long non-coding RNA (CARA_LNC006702)". Lineage: Eukaryota; Viridiplantae; Streptophyta; Magnoliopsida; Gentianales; Rubiaceae. The record is from RNAcentral.
GAGGUCUAUCGCGGUGCCAAGCAUGACAAACGCACGAACCGCACCCGGCUGCUGAGGUUUUCGAAAAUCGUGAUUGGAUCCCUGGCGGAUCUCAAGGCGGUUAUCGGUCUGAAGGCGGCCCAUGAUACUUGGAAGGUGGAGGUGGAGCUUCUGAGAAAGUACAGGCCGCAUGGCCAAAACAGGCCACCUGUAAAAUUCCUCCGGCGUAGGGCCAAGGAGGCCGGAAUCACUCUUUUGCCUAAAAAAGUUAGAAAAGUUAAGGUGGAGUGUGAGGGUUGAGGGUUUAGGGUAUAUGGGAUAGUAGGGGGGGGUAUGGGGUAGUACGGGGGGGUAUGGGGUAGUACGGGGGGGGGGGAAUGGGAUCUUUCUGAUUCUGAGUUUCUACGUUGACUUUCUAUCUUGUAUAUAUAAAUCCAUAUAAUAUAUGCUAUCGCCGCCUAUCGUUAGGCUUUUUGUUGUUUGCGUUGAAUUCGUUUUCAUAGCCAUUUUUCCCCCUUAUGUGUUACUUGUAGAUUGGGUCAUAAGUGAUUCAAUUGGACUGGUCUGUUUCUCAUUUAUUUAUAGUUUAGUGUCUCAGAAAGUAUGCCUUUGUAUCCAUGUAAAGGCCUGUUCUUCAGUUGGAAUAACUUUACUGACGCAUUUGUUGGGCACAGCCUUCGGCUUUGGUUGUACUUUCAAACUUAUAGCCAACUGGUCCUCCACUUUGGGGUUUAGAAUAACAUGCAAAGCUCUUUAUCCAACAUACCAGACACUGAUAUUAGUUAUGGAAGUAUUUGCUCAGACUCAACCCUUGUGUUCCUUUAGCAGAGUGCAUUCUAGCUAAUGCUGUUUUAAUUCAGCCUGUGAUGCUUUAAUAGUUCUUUUUGUCUAUAUGUCAUGGUCUGACAGAGUCUGAUCUGUGACUUGAGCAAAACUUCAAGUUUAUUUAUUUGCUUCAAAGCAAUAUGAUCCCUUUUUAUGGCACUUGCUGUCUAGUUGCAUAGGGAAUAAUCAUAUGAUGGGAAUAGUAAUUUUUUUUAUUGCAAGGUCAAAAUGGGUAAUGAAUGUGCAGGCAUUAUGAAAAAUCCUCAUUGAAAUUCAAACGCAGAACUGUGGGUGUCCGUUUGGAUAUUGAAUUUGCAUAUCUUGCAAUUACAAUAUUGGUUUCAUUAAUUUGAGGUCUUUCACAAGAUCAGAUGAGUUUAUCAUCUGGUAAACCUUACGAUGGUAUAGUGUUCUCUUUGAUUGAUCUCUAAUGUCAAUUGUCAAGAUGGCUAGAAUGGUAUAGUUUUUCAUUUUGUAAUAGCUCCUGAUUGUGUUUGUCUUUUGUAGUCUGUGCCCAGGAGCUGAGUAUCUGUUGCAAAUUGUGCAUGAAGCUGUUCCAGGAGCCUAUUUUGAACCCAAUUCUUAUAUAGCAGCAGCAGAUGUUGCUGUUUACAUUCUUAAUCAGCUAUACAGAAAACUCGAUGAAGUUUGUCUUGUGCAAGGGGGUGAGGUUGUGAAGCUAUGUUGGUUGUGUCAAAGAGUUUCUGUACCCAGUUUCUGUGCAUGCCUUGAUUAAGCUUUGCUGAUCCAAAUAAUGCUCUUUCAGGAGGAUGCUUAUCGGAUGUUACUUUACAUAUUUACUGGGAGUCUACUGCCUUAUGUUGAGGGUCUUGAUUCUUGGCUUUUUGAAGGGACUCUCGACGACCCUUUUGAGGAGGUAAUACUUCAUGAAAGUUGUAUUGUGUAUCUCUUGGUUGGAGCAUGCUGUUACGAAAAUGGUCAAGUUAUGAUACUUGUUUGGUGCUUGUUUUUCACAAUUAAUGACUCAAUACUCAAAACUUGAUUUGCCUAUUGUAUUGUGACCUUCUUUGAAUCAGUUUGAACUGUAUUCAAUUUUGUGAUAAGGAUAAAUGAGCAGUCAAAGAGUCAGCAAAUCUGUGUAGGUAGUCCUGCAACAUUUCUCUUAGGCAAAACAUGACUUUCAUCAUUUCUUUAUAAAGCAGGCAUUUUGACUCAGUCUCCACUGUAUACUUGUGUAUUUGGUCAUAAUCUGCCUUUUUUGAUCAUUCUGUUUUUGCCAGAUGUUCUUUUAUGCUAACAAAGGAAUUGCAAUUGAUGAGACUGAGUUUUGGGAGAAGAGCUAUCUGCUAAGGACAGCAAAAAUUAAAAACCUGGAGAUCGGUUCCUCAUCUGAUGUUUUACUAAAAGACAAAAAAGAUAUUACUGGAAGAGAGUCGAUUUCUACGAGAGAAAAAGAGGGGGGGGAGAUAGAACAUCAUGUUUGUCCUUUGUUCAUUAAGGACAUGGGUAAGGCAAUUGUUUCUGCUGGGAAGUCCUUGCAGCUUAUACGACAUGCACCUUUGCCAUCACUUUCAGAUGUACCUGCCGAUAACCAUGAGAUUAGGCAGUGUAUAGCUGGUUUGACUUUAUCAGAGGUCCUUUGCGUGUCAUUGGCGGCACUGAUUGGUCAUAGCGAUCACAUAUCUGAAUAUGUUUGGCGUGAUAAUUUGAUUGUUUCUUCAUUUGAAUCUUCUGUGGGAAAGGAGAAAGAAGAGAGAAAUGGCGAGAUUUUACCAUUUAUAUCAUCAGAUAAGGUCUGGUAUAAAAUCUUGGCCAAUGUAUUGGGGCAGAAAAGAGAGAUUGUUUCAGGAUCUACACAUAUAGAUACUGAUGUCUUUAGCUUACAGAAAGAAAAACUAGGUCCUGAUGGAGUUGAUGAUGUUCCUUGUGUUGGAACAUAUUGUCCUCAAAAUCCUGCUAUAACUGUUUGUCAGAGAUUUCUUUACGGGAAUAAGGAUGCUCAGAGUGCAUUAAGUUUGUCUAGAAAUUUGUAUCUUCCUCCUUUAGAUGAUAAGGAAUUAAGAAAGGCUGUAUUUUACAAAAAUAGUGGAUCUUGUUCUGAGGAAAAAAGCACAGAUUUUACUUUUGGCUUUUGGUUUGAUGAAUCUGAAUAUGUUCGUAGACAGGAAGAAACAAAAAUGUUAGAGAUGCUAUUUCCAUUUAUGACUUUGCUUCCAUCUUUUCAGGUAUAGCUAUUUUGUUAGUACUAUGUUUGUCACAGUAGUUUUUAGAACAUUUGAAAUCUGAGCAAUUCUUUCUGUGGCGGAACAGGAGGACCUUCACAUGUCAGAGUUUUUGCCAUUUGAGAAAAAUAGUACCCUUCCAUCAAGAAUUCUAAGUUGGAUGCAGAGUGCUGAACCAAAGGUUACCCCACUUCCUGUUGUUAUUCUACAGGAAUGCCUUAUUGCCUACAUCAAGAAACAGGUGGACUGCACAAUUAUUUUUGGUUUUCGGUGUCUUAUUUGUUGCCUACAUUCUUAAGGCUGAAUUAUAUUUAGAAGUUAUUUUCAUUAAUCUACAGGCAGAUUAUAUUGGUAGGAUUAUAUUGUCAAAGCUACUAUAUGACUGGAGAUUGCUGGAUGAGCUAGAAGUAUUACGCGCCAUAUAUUUGUUAGGUUCAGGUAUUCUAGGAUAUUGGUCAAACGGAUACUUCUAGCAAUCUUGGGUGUUAUCAGAAAAUACCAUUCAUUGAUUGAAAGCUUGAAACCUUUUUAUUACAGGGGAUCUUCUGCAACAUUUUUUGGUAGUGAUUUUUAACAAGUUAGAUAAAGGAGAAUCGUUAGAUGAUGAUUUUGAGUUGAACACCAUAUUGCAGGUGCACAUGCUGAACCUUUAACCAUAUUUGUACUAUUGUGCUGUACUAUCCUGAUUUUACAUUUCUUCCUUCCCAUGAAUGAUCUAUAUUUGUCAUGCUAUAAUGUUCAUUGGAAGCCUGUUCUCUUUUUCUGAAUGAGGGAAACUGGUUAGUUAUCUCUUUUUUUGUUGGUGCAUUUUUCUUCAAAUUAUCUUCACAGGUUGGUGUUUUAAUACCACUUAACCGAUAAUGGGACUAGCAAGUGACCGUGUUUGCUUGGUGAGGGUGAAUAUACAGUUAGUGCCUCAAUAAUGACAAUGCUUAUGUUUACUUCAGGAAUCUAUUAGAAGCUCUGCUGAUGGCUCACUUCUGAGCACACCUGAUUCAUUGGUUGUGUCCAUCACAAAAAACUCUGAUUUAAGUGAGGAUGAACAACAUGGUGCAUCUAUCCAAAUCUCAACUCCUCGCAAAAGUCGACUACAGACCAUGGGAAUUGAUGUCCUUCAGUCACUAAAUUUUACAUACAAGGUAGGCAGUAUGAUUUAUAUGCAUGCUUCUGCUUUCAAGAGGUGCCUGCUGUUUGCGAGCUGUCAAGCACUUCAACUUCAUUUACCUUGAAUAAUACCUUGUUGAUGAACAUCUUAAGUGCACAUGUUUCUUGAAUAUACAGGUCUCCUGGCCACUUGAACUUCUAGCUAAUGUAGAGGCACUAAAGAAGUAUAACCAGGUACCUAAUUGGCUUCAUAUGGACAAAUUGUAAUUAGUCUUGCACUGUAAUUCUUCUGAACAUAUGGUACAGGUCAUGAUUUUCCUGUUAAAGGUCAAGCGUGCAAAAUUUGUUCUUGAUAAGGCUCGGAGGUGGAUGUGGAAGGUUCCUGAUUUUUUACUCUCUUUUGCUUUCAUCAUGUUGCAGCAGUGAAAUUUUGUAUUGCUAAACAAAAAUUUCAUGGCUUAUGAAAGGUAUUCUUUAGAUCACUGAUUCGAUACUUUGCCUCUCUCAGGAUAGAAGCACUGCUACAACUACUCGCAAACGCCAUUGGUUAUUGGAGCAAAAAUUACUGCAUUUUGUCAAUGCCUUUCACCAGUAUGUGAUGGACAGGGUAAUGUAUUUUACCGCCUUGUUUAGUACGUUAACAACUUUUAGGGUUUGGUUCUUGUAUUACUUGCAUAUAAAGAUGGACAGGGCUUUCAUAUUUGUAGGUGGUUAUGUGAUAGAGGGUUCUUAGACUAAUUUUUUUUCAAAUAAAUUAGAACAAGCUAAUCUAAACUUGCUUGCCUCUUUUGCGUGUAUAAAAUUUAACUACCAAAGAUAUAUUCUCUAAGAAGAUUCACUUGAAUUUUGGAUGAUCUUCAUUCAAAUUAAAUUGUGUAAAUGCAGCUAGGUUUAUUUGGCAAUACAAGUACGCUACAUGCAAGGUUGAGAGUAUCAAUGCGUAUCUUCUUUGAAGAGAAAUUUUGGUUUCUUGCACUUCUUACACGAAGGCUGUGUGCAGGUAUAUCACAGUGCAUGGCGUGAACUCUGUGAAGGUGUUGCAGCAGCUAGGUCUUUGGAUGAAGUCAUUGAAGUGCAUGAAUCCUAUCUUUUGUCAAUUCAGACACAGUGCUUUGUUGUUCCUGACAAGCUGGUCCAUAACUGCCUCCAAUAACUUUGCUUUUGCCUACCCUUAUUUUUCCUUUCUAUUGGACGUUUUGUUAAGAAACUAAUAAGAUAAAUUGUGUUAACAUUUUUGAUGAUUAUUGUUUCAUUACUAGUGGGCAUUGAUAGCCAGCCGAAUCAACAAUAUCCUUGGACUUGCUUUGGACUUCUAUUCCAUACAGCAGACUCUAAGCAGUGGUGGAGCAGUGUCUGCCAUAAAGACAAGAUGCGAAAUGGAAGUAGAUCGGAUAGAGAGACAGUUCGAUGAAUGCAUAGCUUUCCUUCUCAGGGUAUUCCUUCUCUAUCCUUUUGUUGGUUUUGAUGCAUAUGCUAAGAAAAUUUAUGUCCAUGCGCUAGUGGAUUGAAGUGUAAAUCCACUGUUGUGUAGUAGCAUGGAUAAUGGAAAAACUGCGGUUAAUCUUGGUUAUAGUUUUGAUAUUCUCCAGCUUAGGAGAAAAGGAUUUCAUCAUCUUUGUCACUACGUUGCAGAUUCUAUCUUUCAAGCUGAACGUGGGGCAGUUUCCUCAUUUAGCAGAUUUGGUUACGAGAAUUAAUUACAAUUAUUUCUACAUGUCUGAUAGUGGAAGCCUGAUGACAACUUCGGGCUCGGAUGUUAUUACUUCAAGAUAGGGUCGUCCAAGUCAAGAUGGACUGGGUUAUUGCUCUGUGUGGUAUAAAAUCAACAGAAAAACAAAAAAUUGAUGUCUUUCAGCAUGGUGUGAUAGUUGAAUGAGGAAUUUAGGUAUCUCUGCAUCCUGAUAAGCUCCUAAUGCAGAAGCUGCAAGUUGAUAAAUUGAAGUUGGGUUGCUUUGCUUACCGCAUCUUGAAGCGCUUGAGAUUGGAGGAUCAUGUAUUUAAGACAGCACGCAUACUUUGUUUGAAGGAAGAUAGCAGGUAUACUUGUUUGAUAGAUUUUUAAUGUCGUAGAUUGGCUUCCCUAGUUGAUUGAACAAAUAUUUAUCAUCGUUUCAGGACUUCUGCAUUCUCCUACUGCUGAUGAUAUUACUAUUAGAGAUGAAAAUAUCAUUGGUUUAGCCGCUUGGUUGUUGUGAUUACAAUUUAUAUGCUGUCAUACGUGUGAUGUUUUGUAAGUGCGGCGUUGCAGUCAAUUUACAGAUUGGUUUUAACAAUAAUUUUUCCACAAUUAUAUCAAUGUAUGUUGCAAUUUUGUUGGCUAUAGAUUUGAUUGUGACAUAACCAGUUUGCUGUGUUUUAUAUUGAAAUUUACAGCACAUCAUCACCUGCCAAAAUACUCUACCCCGCGACUGGAGCAAAAACAAGACAAUGUCAUCAUUAUCAUGCCAAGUUCAACUCGAAGCUGGAAACCCUACCCCCCGAAAACUAAUAUACUUGUUGAGAGAGUUGACAGGAUCAGUCCUGAACUAGAGGAUUCAAUACCGCUCCAGUAAACAGCACUGACCUGGAGCUCUCUUCCUUAUCAUGAACAUGAAAGGAUGUUCAGCCACAAAUCUCGUCUCAUCAUCUAAUGAGCAACCAAGUAAUCACACGCAACAGUAACAGCUGCUGCUUCCGUGCCUACCUCAUCUACCUCUAUAAAAGCUUUUUGAACUAUCUCAGAGACAUAAAAUGGAAAUCCGUUGGUGUCUAUGAACCCGGUUAGCUCUUUACAGUCCUACAUAAAUGGUAACUUUAGCACCAUAUCUUCCAUGGUUUGUCGCCCUUUAGAAGUAUGGAAUGCAAACUUAGACUUUGGAAUCCAGAAAGUAUCAUAUCCCCCGUACUUGAGCUGAAAAUCUUGUGUAAAGAAUCCCGAAUCAAGAGUUGUCUGUUCCAAUAGAUUAUGCAAUCCAUCUCUCUCAUUUGGAAGGAAAAUGAACAAGGAGAAUACUUUUCCUCUCUGAUAUGGAAUACUAACAACCUCAAAACCUUCGUAUGAUCCAUGAGUGAGUAUAUGCUUCGCAACCAGUCAUGAAGGGUACUGAAACUGUGUCCCCAUUUAAAAGGUAAAAGUCUCCGUUCGCGGUUUCCUCUGCGUUAAACUUUUCCUCCCACGAACCUUUGAAGUACAGUGUAGUUCCAAGAAUGAGCAUGGUAGCUGGAGUGAUGUUGGCAGGCGUGAGAACGUCGGUCACGAGCCCUUUGGUUGCUGAUUUUGCCCAUGCAUUCACAAUUUCAACAACUUUAUCACCCCACGGAUGAAUCAAUACAUACAUAAUAUCUAUGAAAUAAAACAAUAAACUUAUAUUUGAGCCUAAUCGGGCUGCAUAUGUACAACUCCUUUACAAUUCCGAAUUCAAUUCCGUACUUUAAUCCAACAUUAAUGCUAAUCCGAAUUUGAGAUCAAAAUCAUUCAAAAUCGAAUUCAAAUUAAGCCCUUAAUGAACUGAGUCCGAAUGUUUCGUUAGGGCUCGAUUGUCCCAUGGACUAUGGGCUUCUGUCUCAAAACAGCAUUCAAGAUGCAUGAUGCAUUUUUGAAAAAAAAGAUUCACGAUACACGAUUGCAACGACAUUAGGAAAUUUCACAAUUAUAUAUUUCUUUCUAAUACGAGGUUAAGAAAUCACCUAAAUCAACAGUAGCCUAAGCAGAUUUUGUGUCCAUAAAGCCAAGUGAAUUCCAGAACAAAAGAAAAAUAAUCAACAUACCUGGUUAACAAAGUCCACGUUCUUGGCUUGGGCUUUAUAAACUCUCUCAACGAGUCUUUGAUACGAUGGUUUUAGAGGGUAUUGUUUGUCUGCCCACAGUCCGUUCGCCAGACAGAUAACAGGACCACCACCAUGAUUGCCAUUGGUGGUGUUGUGAUCAUCAGUUGAUGAUGAUGCAAUGCUCGUCAAGUUUUUUAACUUUGAAUUGACAUGAUCAAGGUUGUUGCAUUCAAGAACUUGGACAUCUGGUACAAGGUCAAUCCAGUCGAUCCUGCAGCAAUCAUGCUGAGUACAGCAUUGAAUGAUAGCGGGGAUAGCACCAUAUUCUUCCUGCAACCAUCUUCGAUCUCGUUGAUCAGAAGAUGGCCCGUCGUCUUGGCACAAAAUUCCAUUGUUAUUAUUUUUUUCAAUUGACUCACAGUUUCCGAAUCCACGAAUGGAAUCAACUUACAACUUCGGCUUUGGACUUGGAACUUGCUUCACCUCUUCAACCGAUGUAUUACUGAAAAGAAACAAGACUAAACAAUAUAGAAACUAGUACUACUAAUUAGCAAAUAACAUGUACUAAUAAAAGACUUGAUUUAAUUUCCAUACUGGGGGAUGGAGGGGCCCUUGGGGACAUUAUUUCGGUAGAUUGAUCUUCCCAUGCGCAAGAACAGAAGUCUCAUUGUUACAGCAAUAGUACAAACACCAGAUGACCAAUCCCAUCCCUGAUUUGCACUUAUCCAUACUAAAAAAGUGACCCCAAGCAUUGCUCCAGUAGUGAUGGAGAAUAACAACCAGUUGAAGAAGCUGGCAAGUUUAGGUGCCUCCAGAGGGUUCCUUUCAUCAAAUUGGUCGGCUCCCAGGGAUGGCAAUGCUGCUUUUACUCCGCUGUUGCCAAACGCGAACAAAUAGAGACCUGCAAAUAAGAGGGCUUCUUGGCUUCUGGUUAUUGCCUCGCAUUGAGUCGACUUCAGCGUGGCUGCAUCCUUGCAGGGAAGUGGUCUUAGUUGUGGAAAAUGUGCUUGCACCGUCGGGACAGCAAGUCCCUGAAAAAGUCAUAAUAAUAUGCUCAGCCAACAUCUUUUAAGAGAUUUCACGUUUUGCCCACUUAAAUAAAUAGAAAAAAUAAAACAUUAUGCCUACUCGCGUUUUUCCCUCGUUUUGGACACUACAGCUCCUAUGAGUAUGCAUCGCUUUCGCAUGGGUCGGACAAGGCCACGUGGGGAUUAGGUUUAUUUGCGUAAAAUUUUUAUUUUCGUAAGAAAAUGUCAGAAAGAAACUCAUUUUCAGGGGCUUGGGGAUCUUUAUCUCUUAGCAGCGGGGCACCCUGUGGGGUUUCUAUCCCACAUCGGUAUUGGGGGGUUGGGGUUUGGGUAGAUAAGUCCCUCACAGGACUCCAAAAGUUGCCGGCUUUUGGAGUUACUGUGGGGAUUAGGUUUAUUUGCGUAAAAUUCUUACUUUUGUAAGAAAAUGUCAGAAAGACAAGGGGCACGGACGGUUGCAGGUACAACCGUCCCCAACGGUAUUGGCCAUUUUCAACAGCGCGUAACUUCGGUUGCACACGACGUAACUUUGUUUGUACAAUAUAUAACUUUAGUAUUAAAUUUUGCGAGUCCCACACAUGAUAUUAAAAUAGAUGCACAACUUGUGAUCUAGAUGCAUAAUUUGUUGGGGCCAAAUCAUGGCCAUUAACAGCUCAGGAGCGGUCAUGGUGUACUAUCAAACUAUGUGGACGUGUGUAAGUAGCAAUUAAGAUGACUUUGAAAUUGUUACGCAACUCAUAUUUUUGUACCAUCAAAUUUAAUGCACUACACUAGUCUAUCAUUUGCUUAUUUUGUCUUGGAAUGAAAAAUCUCCUGGAGCUAGUCAGUCUAGUCAGUGGUGGAGCCAGAAAAAAUUUUUAAUUGGGGCAAAAGUAACACUAAAAUUUUUUUCCUCCUCUUUUAUUAGUUUUUUAAGUAAAAAAAAUAUUCACCAAUAAGUUAAAAUGAAAAAAAAAAUUGAACUUAUUUCAAAUGGAAUAUUGUGAUCCACAUAUUCUUUUAGAAUAUUAGUUCAUGAACCAAUUUAAAAGAUCAUGUAAUUCUUUCAUUUAUUACAUAAAAAAAACUUUGGAGACACAAUUAAGAUAAAAUCAAAAUUUUAUGCAUAUUGUAGGAAUUUAAGGGGAGCAGUGGGGGCUCGUGCCCCCACCUUAAAUCCGCCAGUGGUCUAGUUGUGUUUAUUUUGCCUAAUAAGUAGAAUGUACUAAUUGUUUAGAUUAUUUUCAUUUCCAUAUUUAUCAGAUUUCCAAGGUGUUGCCAAUCUUUAAAAAUCCGGCAUACCUUUGAGUUUGGAUAACACUUUUUUAAAUGUAAUAUAUACAGAGAUAAAAAAAUAAUUAAAAAAUAUAUUGAUGAUAUAAGUAAAUAAGUAUAUUAUGUAAAUAAUGUGUAAACAAGGUAUAAUCCAAACACAAAACUGUAGCAAUGCAUCUAGACUAGUGGAUGGAAGUUGAACAGUCGAUGUGCAAUAUAUUAGACUAGUGUAUGGCCUUUCUCAUCGAAUAAAAUGAACUACUAUUAUGCUAAAAAGGCGGAGACAUAUAGGCUUUUAUUCCCGUGGAAAUACAAGAGAUCUACAAGAUUGGCUCAAAAGCAAACAAAUACAUAAUAAUUGAAUAGGGGAUUUUUUUUUUUUUUUUUUUUUUUCCUGAGAGAUGGAAUAGAGGGUUACUACGUGAUUUAGUGUCAAAGCGACGACUUUCGAUAAAAGAAGAAAAGUGGAGGACAACAGCGAGUAGCUUGGGAUCACCUAGAUCAAUGAUGAAAUUAUUGGAUUCAACAAAUAUAACUACUACUAAUUAAAAGCAAACAUCACUAAUGGUAGUGUAUAAUUUUCAAACCAUAAUUGAAAAAGAAGACAGAAAGGGCCAAAACAAAAAAAAUGGUCUUAUACCGGGAAUACGAUUUUGCUGCAAUUGGUUGCUUCCACAACCUCAAAUCCUUAGCAAUUAUUUCUUCUAGUAAUUACCAAGACAUUAGUUCAAAUAUAAAACCCUGGUGUUCUCUCUUCAUUUAUUUAUUUUUCAAUAGAGAGGCAGACAGUCUAAGCUGGCAAAGCAGUGACAUAAUCUGCAGCAAGAUCCUAUUUUAAGUUACAAUUAGUACCCUCCUCUCUGUCCUCAACCUUUCGUCGCCGUCGGAACCCUAACUUGAGAACAAUAUCAAGCAUACUCAACAUGGCCGCUCUGCCAAAAUCAACGAGGGUCCUGCGCGCUUAUAGGAUUGCCAAGAACACUGCCAAGGAGGCUCGCGAGGUCUAUCGCGGUGCCAAGCAUGACAAACGCACGAACCGCACCCGGCUGCUGAGGUUUUCGAAAAUCGUGAUUGGAUCCCUGGCGGAUCUCAAGGCGGUUAUCGGUCUGAAGGCGGCCCAUGAUACUUGGAAGGUGGAGGUGGAGCUUCUGAGAAAGUACAGGCCGCAUGGCCAAAACAGGCCACCUGUAAAAUUCCUCCGGCGUAGGGCCAAGGAGGCCGGAAUCACUCUUUUGCCUAAAAAAGUUAGAAAAGUUAAGGUGGAGUGUGAGGGUUGAGGGUUUAGGGUAUAUGGGAUAGUAGGGGGGGGUAUGGGGUAGUACGGGGGGGUAUGGGGUAGUACGGGGGGGGGGGAAUGGGAUCUUUCUGAUUCUGAGUUUCUACGUUGACUUUCUAUCUUGUAUAUAUAAAUCCAUAUAAUAUAUGCUAUCGCCGCCUAUCGUUAGGCUUUUUGUUGUUUGCGUUGAAUUCGUUUUCAUAGCCAUUUUUCCCCCUUAUGUGUUACUUGUAGAUUGGGUCAUAAGUGAUUCAAUUGGACUGGUCUGUUUCUCAUUUAUUUAUAGUUUAGUGUCUCAGAAAGUAUGCCUUUGUAUCCAUGUAAAGGCCUGUUCUUCAGUUGGAAUAACUUUACUGACGCAUUUGUUGGGCACAGCCUUCGGCUUUGGUUGUACUUUCAAACUUAUAGCCAACUGGUCCUCCACUUUGGGGUUUAGAAUAACAUGCAAAGCUCUUUAUCCAACAUACCAGACACUGAUAUUAGUUAUGGAAGUAUUUGCUCAGACUCAACCCUUGUGUUCCUUUAGCAGAGUGCAUUCUAGCUAAUGCUGUUUUAAUUCAGCCUGUGAUGCUUUAAUAGUUCUUUUUGUCUAUAUGUCAUGGUCUGACAGAGUCUGAUCUGUGACUUGAGCAAAACUUCAAGUUUAUUUAUUUGCUUCAAAGCAAUAUGAUCCCUUUUUAUGGCACUUGCUGUCUAGUUGCAUAGGGAAUAAUCAUAUGAUGGGAAUAGUAAUUUUUUUUAUUGCAAGGUCAAAAUGGGUAAUGAAUGUGCAGGCAUUAUGAAAAAUCCUCAUUGAAAUUCAAACGCAGAACUGUGGGUGUCCGUUUGGAUAUUGAAUUUGCAUAUCUUGCAAUUAGAAUAUUGGUUUCAUUAAUUUGAGGUCUUUCACAAGAUUAGAUGAGUUUAUCAUCUGGUAAACCUUACGAUGGUAUAGUGUUCUCUUUGAUUGAUCUCUAAUGUCAAUUGUCAAGAUGGCUAGAAUGAUGCUUAACUCUCCUCUCCCCCUGGCUAGAAUGAGGAAACAUAAAUUUAGGCUCUUGUUCAGUAAAAUAUGGAUGCAAUGAGUGGGCAGACUUUCCGUUUUUGCUAUUGUCACACUUUUCAUUCUUCAAACCUCUAAAAUAUUACGUGUUCAGACGACAAUUUCUUUUGCAUUGUCAGACAACGAUGUAGAGAGGAAUAUGCUGUAUUGCUGAUCAAGAUCCUUGUGCUGAGAAAUCAAAAUCAAUUUGCUGUCAUUGAUGUGAGAUUACUUGUGUUGCGAUUUGUUAAAUUUGGUUUGUCGGCUCUGUUGUGAUUCAGUUGCUUCCUUUUUGAGUCUAGUUUAUUCAAUUCUCAUUUCUUUCCUUUGACAAUAAUAUAGGCAAUCUUCUUGAAAUCAUCUGGGAUAAUAAUUGUAGUGUGUGUAUAUAUGUGUGCAUAUCUUCUUCUUUCUCCAGCUGGUCGCUUCUUUAAUCAUGUACUUUGGUUGUCAUGAUAAAUUGAAUCAAUUGUUGUUUAGUUGAAGAGCAUAUUUCUUAAAGCUUUGUCUUCUUGAAUGUGUCUUGAGUGCUGACACUCUGUCUUGCACCAUAUUGUUUUGCAGGUUUCGUAUGUUUUUAGGAAGCCUGAAGUUUCAGAUAUUGUGAUUUUUAAAGCACCUCCAAUUCUUCAAGUAUGUGAUGCACCGUUUGACUUCUUUCUUGUCUUAACUCUCAGUGUCUGAUUUUUUAUGACUCAAGGACUAAAGUUGCGUUCUUAUUCAGGAAAUUGGUUAUAGUUCUGGUGAUGUCUUCAUUAAGAGAGUUGUCGCUAAGGCUGGAGACUAUGUGGAGGUAUGUGAUUCUUUUCCAUAUAAUCUAGCGACGUUUUUUCUUUAAUGGCAUUGAGGUUAUGGUUUUUAAUUUACAAUGUUCUCUUAACAUUAGGUUCGUAAUGGCAAAUUGCUGGUAAAUGGGGUAGCUCAAGAUGAGGAUUUCAUCUUAGAACCAGUGGCAUAUGAGAUGGAUCCGGUGGUAUGUCAACUUGUCCCUUGGAUUGCUUUUUCAUGAUAUGAAUAUAAUUUCUUGUUUUGAAUUUCAAACCCAUUUUCCAUUGAUUUGUAAAUGCGCUGCCCUGUGUUUUCUGUAGCUUGUCCCUGAGGGGUAUGUCUUUGUCAUGGGUGAUAACCGCAACAACAGUUUCGACUCGCACAACUGGUAAUGAUUGAUCUGCAGUUUUUUUAUCAACAUAAGUAGAUAACGUCCCAACAGCAUUCAGCCAAAAGUUUCGUCGUCCUCUCACGUGCCACGCAUGUGGGUUGGGAGCGUUGUGUUGUUCGCGCGUCGCGCGCUGCUUGUCCUCCGUCAGUAUCCCAUGUGCCUCCUGCUGCGUUGUCUGCCGCGUUCUCUGUAUGUGGCUGUAUCACGUGCCCCUUCUUCCCACUGCUUUCUCUCUCUCUCCUCCUUUUGGGCAAUGUUGCUCUCUUGCUUAUCCGGCUGUUCUGAGCCCUGGGCCAGGAUCCUGCUGAGAUAUCCGGUUCCCUUCUUACCACGCAAGAAGCAUCAAGCCUCGAGCUCUCGCGUUCUCUGGGUUGCAGCGGUCCAGACGUUUGGUUCUCCUCCUCUUCCUCCGUGGUGAGUUUUCUUCUUCUUCCUUUUCUUCCUUUUCGGUGACAUGCAGUCUUUGCUGUGAGUUUUCUGCAUUAUCUUUUCUUUAGCAUGAAACUGAUGUUUUUGCUCUUUGUUCUUGUUUCCCUUCUCGAGCCGCGUAAUGCCCAUCGAGCCUCUGUCUCUCGCUUUCUCUGGGUUUCAGUCAUCCAAAUCGGCUGCCGUCCGUUCGCUUCUCCUCCUCUCCUCCGUGGUAAGUUUUCUUGUUCUUCCUUUAUGGUUAGGUUCGUCUUCGCUGAGAGUUUCCCCUAUAAAUUUUUUUUUUUUGGUUCUUUGGGUCCUCUAGAUCUACUAUUUUGCUCUCCGGAAGGCUGCAAACUUGCUCUUUCAAUGAUGUGGUUGUGCUUUUUUUUUUUUUCUUGAUUUGAGAAUAGCUUCUUACAAGUCAUGUUCAGUUGUGGGUAUUUAGAAGACUUGGGUUCUGUUCUGUUUUAGGUACUAGCUACAUGUGCAGUUGUGGGUUUUUUUUAACCAUUCUCUUGCCCUUCUCUUUCAAUGCUUUUCUCUUUUACUGGUUUGAGAAGCGAUUCUUGAGACUUCCUUCUUACAGACCAAGGAGGUGCCGUCUUCGCCCCUUUUUCCUCCCCGAACGCAGGCCUUCUGUUUUUCCUCUCGGGUAAGGUACGAUCUUGCCCUUCUUUUUCCUCUCGGUUUGACUAUUUCUUCUUGACAGGAGGCUUGGGUGUUCUUGGGGGUUUCUCGACUGAUUUUGUUUCCAGAGCUUUCAAUCUCACCCAAGAUGAAUCAGAUCAGCUCCUGACGUACCAAACCGGUGCUUUAAUUGUCAAGCUUGUUGAGGUCAAACGUUGCACGAUCCAUGCAAAGAUGCUGAUCACAUCGAGAUGUUAUUCGACUUUGAAAGUGCCAAGCCCAGCAUCCACGUCAAUCAGGGCGGAUCACUGACCAUUGCUACUCCUGAAAAUUUUCCUUUUCUGGAGAAAGUGGGACUAAGUGCUAAUGUCGUGAAGUUGGAUCCGUUGUCCAUGUUAACCCCAUGUAUACCGCUGAUGCAUCCUUCCAGUUGAUUUACUUCGCUAAAGGCAGUGGUGUGAUUCGAAUUUCGGGUAUGACUGGUGGGAAGGCAUUGGACGCCCGGGUGCAGAGCGGCCAGUCACUCGUCGUGCCUAAAUUCUUCUCUGCUGCCAAGGUUGCAGAUGGAGAUGGAUUGGAGUAUUUCUCUGUUGUCACAUCUUUAGAGUAGGUUUUAGUUUGAAGAUUAUAUACUACUAUUGUUCUUCCUUGGACUGUUAAGCAAGAAAGGGUUGAAGAUCAUGGGCUGAGUGAAUCUGGCAGAAUUUUUAAACCCAUCAUUUUUCUCAAAAAAAGGCAGUAACAAUUGGAGAUUCUCAUUACUUUUUUUUUUUUUUUUUUUUUGCCUUUUGCAGGCCAUCUUUUGUUCAGUUGGCCGGGGAAAUGUCAGUUUGGAAGGCAAUGGCUCCCUCGGUUCUACAAGCUUCUUUCAAUGUUAUCCGGGGUUCGUGGAACUUUUCAACAUAAGUAGAAUAAGAGCCGAAGAGCUCUUCUGACGUGGAUGGUUUUCGUCGUCCUCUCACGUGCCGCACAUGUGAGUUACCAGCCAUUUUUUUCCCGCGUGAUGCGCCAGAAGUCCUGCAUAUACUUCCUCUCUAGGGUUUUCUUAAAUUCCUCCGCCGCCGCCGCUUUGCCUCACCUUAUUCUCAGAAGCUCCGUCUCCUCGACUUUGUUUUCUCUUCUCCUUUCUCCUGCAUUUGUCUUUUCUUCUUUUCUAUCUCGUCUUCCUCUCUUCUUUCUUUUCUCCUAUUGUAGAUGGAUUGAAGCUGUUUUCUCCUCCCUUCUCCUCUUCUUCUCACCGCCGCUCCUUGGUCAGAUCUUUCCCUCUGCUUGUUGCUCUCAAAAUCUUUAUUAUCUCUCCUCCUUCUUUCCUUCUCAUUCUUUGAUUUCAUUCUUAAAUAUUACUUUCACCUUUUUAUUGUUUUUCUUUUUUCUUUAACUUUUUUUUGCCCGAUUGAUCGGCUGAUACCAUGAGAGCUGCAUAUUUCUUUUCAAAAAUUAUUUGUAGCUUCAAACCUGGUAAACGAAAUCGCGGCUACCAUAGUCGGCCAUACACAAAAUAUGUAACUCCACAGUGGUCUUUUCCACUGCUCUUUUUUUUCCCCGUUUCUUGGCUCCUUGGUUGGGAGACUGCUGUUUUUUGUCUUGCUUUUGAUUUCUUGACUUAUUUUUCAGUCUCAGAUAGAACUAGAAGUGAAGCGUCAACUGCUGCUUCCUCUCUAUUGUUUCAGGUACUACCUUGGUUUUUCCGCUACUUUCCCUUCAUUGGUGAUUUUUUUUCGCUUUCUUUUCUAUUAAAACUUUGGUUACAUUGAUGUUUUGUCUUGUUUUAUCUAGAAUGCAACUAGAGUGUAGAUCUGUGGAGCUUUCAAUUUAUGCACUCUUAUUUUUCGUCUGAGAAAGAACUACAAGCACUGAAGCAUCUUCUAUCCAUUAAGGUACUACCUUCAUUAUUUUGUUAUUUUCUCUCUAUUUUUGUUUAUUUUCCUUCCAUGUUUGAGCAAUUGUGGUGUUGCUGUUUUUUACACUUCUCAGCUGUUCUUUGUGCUUGUUUCAUGGCUGUUUGUAUUGAUUUUUACCCCUUGGAAUUUUUUUUUUAUUUUUACCCGGUAAAAUCCUUUCUGCUAUGGCAUUUUUUCCCUCCUAGAUUUUUUUUUUGUUUUCCUUUCUUUUAAGCUUUUUUGUGCUUGUUUCAUGUGCUAUUUGGGUUAUUUUUAGUUCUAGGAUUCCACCCUAAAAAGGCAAAAAAAAAUAAAGAAAUCCCCGGGACUUGGAUUUCCUGCUAGAAUACAUAUUUUGUCUUCCUACCUUAGAUUUGCUCUGCAUUCCUGUUUUUCUCCUCCUCUGUAAAAACUUGUUUGAUACUAAUGGUUGUCGUAUUUUGUUGUGCAAGCAUUUUUUUCAUUGCUUUUAGGAAACUGGUUUGUGAUUUCUUUGGUGGUUGUUUUCCAUUAAAAGUUUUUUGUUUGUGUUGCAGCUAUUGCACCUUUUUCUUGUGUCGUGUUUGCUCAUUUUUUUGAGUUGUUAUCAGGCUUAUGAUACUUUUUCGUCGGUGCUGUUGGAAAUUUUUUUCCUUUCUGUAAUGCCUUUUACUAAUCAGUUUGUGAUUGCAUUACUAAUGCCGUUGUACUGUACAAUUUGUAAGUUUUGCAUUCAGAUCAUAUUUAGAGUAAUAAGUUUUACAUUCAGAUCAUAAGUCAAUUUUGGAAAGAAUAAGUUUUGCAUCAGAUCAUAUGUGAGGCUACAAUUUGUAAAGAUUAGAAUAACAAUUUUUCAUACCAAGUGCAAAUGAUGCUUGAAGUUUCAUUCCUUGGAGCAAACAUCUUUUAUGUUCUGUUUUUUGUAUUUUUUGGGUUUUGCUUUUCUUUAUUUUACUUUGAAGCUUUUCGUUCUGUAAGUAUCUUUGUGAUUUAGUUACAAGAAGAAAGAAGUUUUGUCCUCCUACAAUAUUCUUUAAAAAUUGGAAACUUAUGUAGUCCAUUAAUCUUAUUUAUCUAAUUUUGCUUCUAUCUUUCUGUCAACAUAGAGAACAUCAGGUCUUAUGAGACAAUUUAUGACUUUUUAUUUUCAUUCACUUGGUGGUGGUGGAUUUUUUUUUGGGUUAGAUCUGUUUUUUCCCUCUUGAUCUGUAAAGAAGUUUUUUUUUCGGUCUGUGUCUUGCAAUUCCUGUAUGCUUUUGAUUUUUUGAUUUGCAAAGUUGUUGAAUGCUCAUGCUUGUGGUCGCUGGUUUAUUUUUCUGCUUUUGCUUUUGGUGUGCAUUUCUUUCUGCCAUUGUUUUCCUGAUUUGGUUAUUUUUGUUCGUUAGCCAUGUACCUACCUACAUUUGUAAAGUAGACCCUCCAAAAUUUUUUGGUGAUUAUAGAAUGCUGUAAGAAUAUCUCUACAUCAGUGAUUAAUAUGCUUCUUCAUUAUGUAAAUGGCGACUUGGCAUUAUUGCUUGUUCUUUUUUAAUUAACCAGAUUCUCAUGAAACUCUCGCUUGCUCUGCCUUGAGUUCAUAUAAUUGUAUUCCUCGUGAAUUGAUUUUUAUUCUCAGGUAUGAAGGUGCACAAUCUGCAGAAGCCUUGCUCAGUUUGUGAACAGUGAAGAAGGUAAUGUUAUUGGUUAGCUGGCUUGAAUUUUGUGGUCCAUAAGUGUAAUCCAUGUUAACAAGUUUGAUAGAUUUACGUUAAACUAUAUUUUGGUAAAAGUGUUGAAUAAUCCAUGAAGUUGUUAAAAUCCAAUCCAUAUUACUUAUGAAGAUUAGAAAUUUACUUCACCUUAAGAUAUCACAACGAAGAAUUGUGCUGUGAUAUCUUAAGGGGCAAAAGAUCAAUCUUUUUUUUUUAAAAUGUUUUCUAUAUUGGUUAAAAUCUACAAUGGAUUAUUUCAAGUUGUGAUAGCACUGAAGGCUACAAUUAAGAAACAGGUUAGUUAUUAAUUUGCUUCUUAUGUGGUUUUUUUUUGUUUUGCCUCAGUAGUCUAUAACUAACCCUCACUAUUUCUUUAUUUCUUUCUUCUAUUUCAAUUUUUCCCUUACCGAAAGGUCUAUCUACAAUGGAUUAUUUCAGGUUAUGAUAGCACUGAAGGCUACGAUUAAAAGACAGGUUAGUUUUUAAUUUGCUUCUCAUGUGGUUUUAAUUCUGUUUUUGGGCUCUGUAGUCUAUUACUAACCCAGAAUUGCUACCAGUGAUGACAAAGAAACUAUUCAGCAUAAUUUUAAGGAUGGCCAAAGUAGCCAGCUUAAAAAGUUGUAUGAAUUUGGCCUUAUUCUUGUAACUGCGAUUAAAUAUUAGCACCUUAGCCAUGUGGUUUUCUUGUUUUAUUCUUUAUUGUUUGUUUCACGUGACAGGUACACCUUGAUUACCAUGAAGUUGGUGCUAAUAUCAUAAUAUCUGUAUCAUAUCAGGUUAUAUGGCUGUCUUUUUUAAUUUUUCCAAGCCUUCCUAAGGAUCUUGUUUAAUUAUUAUUGAAAGAAUUUUUCACGAAGUUGAGGACUCUUGAUUUUUCUUGUUUGGAAGACAGGCCACUCUUCAAGGAUUUGUAGCUAAAGGGAUAUCAAGAGAAGAAGGUGAAGCUUUACUCAGGAAAAUUGUUGAAAUAGCAUGUGAUGUACGGGAUAUAUAUUAUUAUAAAGCCAGCAAAGGUUCUUGGGAUGUUAUUGGAGAUCCAAAAGCUUUAAACGUCCACUCCUUGUUGCUGCUUCUGUUGGAGGCUAUGGAGCUAAUCUUGCUGAUGGUUCUGAAUAUAGGUGAAUCUUUUAAUUCUUUUCUUACAUUGGAAGCAGAGUAGUAUUUCAGUGCCCAAAUACUGACUUGAAAUAUUUGAACUUGUGCUAGAAACUUUUCCUCUCGAGCACUUGUGAUAUUCUCAUGCAUUGCAGUGGCAUAUAUGGGGAUACAGUGACUCUGGAGACUUUGAAAGAUUUCCAUAGAAGAAGAGUUCAAGUUCUUGCCGACUCUGGUGCUGACCUGCUUGCAUUUGAGACAAUUUCAAACAAAUUGGAUGCUAUGGUAUUGUUUUUUGAGUUGUGACUAUCUCAGUGUACCUCAAACAUUUCUUUUGCUAGAGCAAUUUAGAUGUUUUACUGUCUAUUUUGCCUGAUUGCUUCUUGAUAUAGGAAUAUACUGAGAUUCUUGAGAAAGAAAACAUAAAAGUUCCGACCUGGUUUUCUUUCAAUUCUAAGGAUGGGAUCAAUGUAGUUAGUGGGGGUCCUAUAUCAAAUUGUACUGCAAUUGCUGAUUUAUGUGAUCGAGUUGUUGCUGUUGGAAUCAACUGUACUGCUCCUAGACAUAUUGAUGGACUUGUCCAAUCAAUCAAGAUGGUAUAACCAAUUCUAGGAUGCAUUUGAAAUGAAUGAAAUUGAAAACGAUAAUCAAAUUUAAUUAGGAACAUUGGUUUUAAUUCUCUCGAGAAAUCUAGAUAAGUUAUUGUCAUGUCUUAGUUCUAAUUGCAGUCUUUUAAUCACAAGAUCCCCUUUUUUUUUGUUUCUAAUAAUUCUCAUUAGAGAAACCAAUUCUGGGUCAUGAUUAUUAGAUGUAUCUCCAUUGCAUCAAUAAAUUAGAAAUCAGAAAAUCUUGUAUGUCCAUUUAUGUACAUGGAACUUGUUGCUUUACUUGCUAAUAUUUCUGUAAGUCACUACUAAACCGAUCCUGAUAUAUCAGCGUUUUCCUUUUUCUCUUUCCACAGUCUUCCCAAGUUAGAAGCUCAAUUGAAAAAAAGAAAGGAAAAAACCAGAAACCAUCCAUUUAUAUAUAUAUAUCUAAGUAUAAAACUAUGAAGUAAAGUACAUCUUUAAACAGAUGUACCAACAUUUCAGCUGUGUGUGAAGUGAAGAUCAUCCUAACAACAUUAGUUAUUCUAAGCAUAAAUAAAACUAUGAGUAUGUUUGUUGAUACUUUUAGUUGGCUGAUUUCAACCACCGAAGAAAGGAAAAUGUUGUCUUAUUAGGAUUUUAUGGUUCUUAAGGUAUUUACACUUGCUAAAUUGCUAUUGGGCAGUUUCCUUGAAUUUCUUGUUGGAUUGUGGAUCUAUUUGCACGAAUGUUUUCAAGUCACUUAUUCUUAGGGUGAGGAUUACUGAUCAAACUUUUGUUUGCUUGUACUUGUCAAAUUAGAUAAUGGGGAAAGUGAAUAAAGAGAGGCUGGGAGAAUUCCUUGGGGAGUUGCAGAGGAAAGAGCAUACAAAUGACAGGUAUGUUGCUGUUCUGAGAGGGGAAACGUUGAUUAGAAACCCAUUUGUGAGAAUGCAACCUUUCCCAGACCAAAGCACAACUGAAGUUAGCAAGGCAUAGGAGUAGAUAAUGAGACUGCUGUUGGCAGACUUUUGUACCCAGAACUUUUUUCUAUUUUUUUCUCCCUUUUCACUACCAUUGUAGAGCACACUAUUAUGAAUGUCUAACGGUGACUUUUGAUUUACUGAUUCUUUAUCAUAAUGGGAUCACCAAAACUGAAGCUUAGCUUGUAUAUAUUUGUGUUUUAUAAAAAGGACAAAUAUUAGAUGGUACAAGGACAAAUAUUGUAAAAGGACAAAUAUUAGCUUGCAUACAUUUGCACUAUUAUGAAAAGGACGGGCUCGUCUUCUGUACCGGUAGCCGCUCUGAGGAAAUCACCGAGAAAACUAGUGGCCAUACAAAUCUUCAAGAGGAAAGGCAUAGAAAAUUUUGCUCCUGGUGUUUUAGCUUCAGAAUUUAUUUUUAGUCAGUUUAUGUAAACUAGGAAAGUGUAUCACCGCAUGGUGAUUAUUGAUUUUUAUAUUGUUAGCUGAAAUUUGUAUCCAUCUCUUCGUGAUUUUCCUAUUUUUGGAACGUUUGAGUUCUCAUACGAAUUAGGAAGAUUUGAGAUAUGAUCUACAUUAAAAGUCCAAAAAUUAUAUUAAUAUAAAUGUUUUCACUAUUUUGAGAGCAUAUUCAUUUUGGAUUAAGUACAAAUCAUUUUACUAAACUGGGCAUGUUCAUCUUUUUUACCUCAGCGCACAGCGCGGUUUAUGCCUCCUAGUCAAAAACAAGAUUGCCAAGGGUAAAAUUAUUGUUCCUCCUAAGAAUUGAGUUGAGAAAUAGGACUUAGCAGCUGCUGGAGCUGGACUACAAAAGCUAAAAUAAGAUACAGACUGCAUCUAGACCAUUGCCUUGAGAGGCCACUUAAUUUGUCAUAAUCUGAAUUAAUUAGUUCUCAAGUUUGAGGUCUAUGUUUUAUAUGAUUAUUUCUUGCCAACUUGUUCGCGUCUUUGAGAUCCGUGCGUAGUAUUAUUUCUCGCCCAUAUUAGUUUUUAUCAUAUGUUUAUUUGAUAAUUUUCCUUUUCUAUAGAAGAAAAUUCAAACAUAGACAGAAUUGGAAAGUGUUCUUUGAAUUUUUUUCCUCCGCAUUGCGAUAUUUGUUUUUGUUCCUCCGGUGUCCGGUCUACAUGGGUUUGAUGCUGGUCUGCACUCCUGACAGCUCCAGUGGUUCCCCCUCACAACCUCGAAAACAUGAAAAUCAUGCCCUUUUUUUGCGUUGCUCCUCUUUUGCAUCUCUACAAAACAUUUGUCUUUUACUACCACUUUAUUUGGAGGUCUUCCAAGGCUGACAUUAUUGAUGCACUAAAUCAAUAUUAUGCAUUCACACUACUGUUAUCCAUAGGCCCUCAGUGUCUCUGUCUCUGUCUCUGUCUGUUAUUGAAGCAAGAAAAGGGUUUGAAAAGAAGCAAAAUAACAGGAGUAAGGGGAGAAAGAUAUUGCCUGAGAACUCGGAUUUCCAACAUAAAUUUACGUAUGUAUAUGCAUUCCAAGUGUCCCAUUAUUUGUUCAACCUUCAAAAUUACUCUCUUGACCUCUUCUUCCUUUCAAGAUCUCCUCAGUCCUCACCUACGAAAAAUGAUUCUUUGUUAGUACUCCAACUUUCAAGUCUACUUAAAUUGAGUGAGCUUACUCACACUCUAAAAAUGUAGACGCGUGCAAAAUUUGAACUAUGCUACGUAUGUCAACCGAUAUUAAUCUAUAAACGAGUUUACCUAGAUCUUUCUUAGCAUUAAUUUCCACAUAUUUAAUUGAACUUAUAGAUCAAAUUACCCAAAUAUUUAGUUGCUUUUAACCCCUAAAUACAUAAGCGAAAAUCAUUGAAGAUCAGAGUUUUGCUAUGUCUACCAUCUUAUAAUUGAUUUAUGUUAAUUAUAAAAUUGCAGUGAAAGAAUUUUGAUUCGUUUUGAUUCAUCAAGUUUUGUCUGCACAAAAAAAUUAAUGCAUUAUAAAAGUAUUUAUCAAUCAUUUGUGUAUUUUUUUUAACUCUUUUUUUGAUUUCACAUACAUCAAAUUACAAAAAAAUUAUUUUAAAAAAAUCCCAAAUAAACUUUUGGUUUUAUAAAUUGAGCAUAGAGUAUGAAUAUCAGGCCAUGCAACAUGUUAUUCACGGUACCCCACAAGCGCACCAACGACUUUAUUUCAAAGUUCAAACUUCAAACGUCUCUCUCCUCUCUCUUUCUUUCUGACUGCAUAUCCAUGCACUGCAAGUGCAUCCUUUCUUCCUUGGUUAUCAAAUUUUACCGCCUGAGCUGAACCCUCUCUUGUAUCAAGAACAAUUGUCCCAUGCAUCUGUAAAUGCCACUCAAUGCCCUCAACCUAAGGCCUUUUCUCUUCACUUUUUAUGCGGGUUUGUGGGCAGUGACGGAGCCAGGAUUUUUUCCUUGGGGGGGGGGGGGCCAAAAUUUUUUCAAUCAAAAUUAUCUUAAUAUGUUAUGUUCAAACUAAUUUUCAUUUAUUUAAAUAUAUGACAUCUUAAAAUAUCAAAAUUUAAUUUUAAUUAUAAAGGUAUGUCUAUUUCAUAAAUAUGUAGCAUAGUAAGAACUAAAAUUAAGAUAAGAAAUAAAAUUUGAUUAAAUAUCUUAUAAUAUUACAAACCACUUAAGUUGUACAUUAUGAGAAGAUGCUCCAAUAUGUCACCUGUGCAAAAACAAAAAUAUAACUAUGUAAUAUAAAUAUAAUUAUUUUCAAUUAAAAAAAAGAUAAAAGUUAUGUUAAUAUACCUUGAAAUUUCAUCCUCUUUUAUUAAAAGUAAAUUGAGAUUUACGUUCUUUCAUAGAACUAAAUUCAUCUAUAAUUGAAUCGGUGUUAAAUUUUGAUCAUCCUUUUUUUUUUUUAUGUACAUUGUUAGACAAUCAUUCAAGAAAUUAUCUUUUAUCUUGUUUUGAUUAUAUUCACAAUUGAAAAUGUACGUUCUAUAGUUGCAGUUAAUACAGAAAGAGUGAGAACAAAUACAAUCAAUCUGUCAAUAAUAGGAUGUGUCACUCAAUUUCUUGUUUUCAUCAACCUUUCAAGUAACUAUUUGUAUAUUUGUAUAUGAGUCAACAAGAGGAUAGAUCACUAAUUUUAAAUUUUUUAUCAAUUAGGCUAAGGUGUAUAUUUGUAUAUGGACCAAUAAAGUAAUUAUUUUUAUUUUAGCCCAUUGAUAAUUAUGAAUUGAGUCUUUCAUUAUAAUACAUCAAAUUGGGUCAAUUUACUAUGGAUUAUCAAAUUAUAUGUUUAAUUUUUUGAAUGUUAAAUAAUUAGUAAAAUAAAAAAUAAAUAACUUUUUUUUGAAGAAAAAAUUAAAUCAAAAGAUGGCUAAUUCAUAUAUACACACAAAAAAAUAUAUAUAUAUAUAUAUAUAUAAACUCUCAUAAUAUAAACUAAAAUGAUAAAAAAUUAGGGAAACCAACUUUAACUUAUACAUAUAUUUACAUAUUAUGAAUUAAAAUUUUCAAAACUUAGGGGCAUGGCCUCCCUCUGCCCCCUUGGCUCCAUCAUUGUUUGCGGGGAGACUUCUAAAUCUUUUCCUGUUCUUUCUACUUUUUUAUUUCUUUAGGUGCAUAAAAGCAGUAACAAGUGUCAAAAAUUUGAUGAACAUUCUUCCCUUUGUCACUUCCUUCAUCCACAACUAGAAGAGCAACAUAUUCACGGUUUGAUUCUGAUUUAUGUCCUUUGUAGUUCGUUCUUGAUACCGCAUGUUCGUUGAUGUUUAUGACCAGGUUCGUUCGGGUUUAUUUUGUUUCUUUUAAUUGCUGAAGAAAGGGGUAAUAUUGAAGUUUGAGAACAGUACAUUUCAGAUUCUGGGUGUCUGUUGUGAUUUCUUGGAUGCCCUUUCUGGGAGCUGAUUAUCCAGCUUAAUUUCUCUGGUGUUAUUUGACGAGAUCUAACAUGUUCAAUGCAUGACUCUGUGGAUUAAAUCUUUGCAAAGUAUAGCAUGUUUAGUGUCUCCUGUAAUCUUCAGAUCUUGCUACUCUGAUCAAUGAUUAUGCUUUUCAAUCUGUUUGAGAAGUGUCUUUGCGCUCAAUAUUGGUAGUAGUAGCAGUUGUUGGUUUUUGUUUUUUUUUUUUUGUGGUGUUCCCUUCAAGCAGUGGUUUUGUACUUGGUUAUUUGCUAUUCACCAUGUGCUUCUUUUACCAUUUUUGUGAAUUUGUUGUACAAGCUCAUCACAUGCCAGAGCCCAGAGUGAAAAAUCUAUAAAACUUUGGCAUGAACAUUCAUACUUCUACAUAGUGAAAAAUCUUUAAUUUUGGUAUGAAGACAACAUAGACCAGCUUACGCACGACUUUUGAUCACAUUGAUAUGCGCAUCUUGGUGAGCAUACACAUUUCUUUUCCUUUUUUCCACCCUCUUGGUCAUAUCUUAUACUUGGUUAUGCACAGACCCUUCCGCAAUAUAUAACACCGGGAUUACAUGAAGCCAAAACUCCAACAAUCAAUCUCGCUAGUGGACACCGAACAUAUUUUCUUGGAAUGACUGCGGCCAAAUUUGAUCAAAACUGGACCACAUUCGUUGCAGACCAUGAAUUUCGAAAUGGCGAAGUUGUUCUCUUCAUGCCCCAAUCCAAAUCCUGUUUUUCCAUCAUCAUCUUCGAUCGGAAAGGGAAUGAAAGAAUGUAUCCAUGGCACUAUAAUUUUAAUAUUUAGCCUCAUGUUCUUUCCGUUUUAAGUUCAUUUUGUUUCUUUCUCAGACGUUGAAGGACUAUGCUUUAAUCAGCUUUGUACCUUGUUUUACACCUUUACUGCUAACUCUGUUUUCCUUGUGCUUCUUUAUAUUGCCUUUCUUACACUAUACGUUCAGUCUCUUCAUGCAGCGUUCCUGCUCAUGAUACUGCGCUGGGCAUUAACACUUUUAUUCCUACCGCGCAGCGCGCGGUUCUUGCCUCCUAGUACAUGGAGAAGGGCAUCUCCUAGUAUCUGGAAUUGGUUGUGUUUCAUUUUUGGUUUGGUUAUGCCUUGAGUAAGAUUUCUACUAGGAUCCUCGUUCAGAACAACAUAUACUUAGUUUGUACUACAAUCAUCAUCAUCACAGGUAAAGGAGGAAGCAUGGGGGCAUUUUUGAUUGAUUAUUUUUUCACUCUUAUUGAUGAAUGUGUUAAUAUAUCUUGCCCUGUUUUGGUAACUAUGCUUAUACAUAGGUUAAUGUGAAUUUAGCCUUUUCAUCUUGAAUAUUCCAUUUUUCCUGGAAAAUUGGAUUGCGAUUUAUUUGCUGACUUCUAUCUUCUCAUUUCUUCACUUGCAGGGGCCCCCUUCCAAUUCAAAACAUUGUUUGUAGAUCAGUGUUUCGAUAUUGGCCUCCGUCCAAAGUUUCUGACACUAUGUGUGACUCGCCUCUGACUAGGACUGCUGUUGCAUUUUCUUGACUGGUUUAUCCGGAAAGACUUUGCUGUACAGACUCCCACACUAGGAAAGAUUGCUGUUACAGUUUUAUGACUCCAGCACUUCGAUUCAGAGACAGGGUCCCAAAACUUGUUUCUUCCUUUUGAUCUUCUUUUACCAAUCAUUCAUUCGUCUUUGGGCUGUUCACCGGCUGCAGUGAAUACUUAAUCUCCCUGGUGUUAUGGCUUUGAACGUCCGAAACUGUUGUGUGGGUGGAUAAUCUCACCCAUCCUAUGAUCAUUAUUGCCGUUAGACAAUACAUUGGCUGGUUCUUUGUUCCAUUUAAAGGGGAAGGAAAAAAAAAAAAAAAAAGAGGUUGUCUUCUUGCUCUCUCCCCUUUUCCCCCAAAAAAAAAAAAAAAAAAAAAAAAAAAGAAGGGACCUUCAAUUUUUAGUUUAGUGUUAUUGUAGUUUUUUUUUUUGGGCUUUUUGUGGUACCAAGUGUUAUUCUCUUAUUCGAGUGCUGCUAGUUUUGACUUGUACCAAAAAGGACUUGUACCAAAAAGGUGAAAAACAGACGAGGCUAUGAAUUAUGAUCUAGCUGACUUGAGGUUCGAUUUUCUUUAUGAAGCAGCAUCGGAAGCGGUUUUCCAUUCAAAGCAAAUACCCAACAAUCUUGAAUUGUUCAUUUCUGCUCCUUUAUGACCGACUAAAAUGGAAUGAUAAUUGAGUAGAGAACAAAGAAACUGUCAAGUGCUGAACGCUUGAACUAGCAGGGCUAAUUGAAGAUCAAGCAUCCAGUAAUAGUAAUAAUAGUAAUAAUAAUAUAGUAAUAGUAAUAGUAAUAGUAAUAAUAGUAAUUGGAUAUAUAAACAAGUUAAUAUCCUAUUUUUUUUAAAAAAAAAAAAGCAGGGCCGGAAGGAAAAAGUAGAUCAAUUGUAGGUAUGAUAUAUACCUGGUAGGGUAGGUAUGAAAAAGGAGGGCCGGAAGGAAAAAGGGGGAAGACAUAAAUUUCAAGAAAAUUAUGUACAUUGAGAUAUGAAGAGAUAGUACCUGAACGGAAAGAGAGGGAAAACGCAUGGAGGGAGAAGGGAACGUCCGCAUGUGCCCCGGGACUGAGUAAAUAUGGCAAUAGGGCUGAAAAUGGAAUAAAAAUUAGAAUAAAACUGAAGUCUGCUGAGGAACCGUCUGUUUGCAGAAUGGCAUAUUCCUUUUUACUUUUGACAGCAAUCCUUUUCUCCUGAGUCCUACCCCAGCCGGGCCACUGAGAUGCCAAGAAAAUUGACUUGCUAAAACAAUUGGGGGUUUUAAUAUGUUUGCACAAAAUAAAAGAAGUGAUUGGACAAGGGAGAAAUUCGGCAAAUUUCUGUAAAUAAUAAUAAUGUUAGGAUAGAAAAUAUCUCAAAAGUAGGGUCAUUUGGAGUGUGUUAAAUGCGCGACCAUGUAAUAUUCUUUUUUAUUUAAUGUGUCAUAUGCAAAUUGUGUUUCUCCACUUAAGAUCACCCUACUUGGCAAAUUUCUGUAAAUAAUAUUAGAGAAAAAAUGCAGUUUUGGUAUCUAAAUUUUGACACAUGAGCGGUUUUAGUCCCCAAAUUUAGGACGAAAACAAAUCUGGUACCCGAACUUUUAAAUUUUGAGCACAUUUAGUACCCUUGACAAUUUUUUCCCAAAUUGCUACCGAAAAAAAGUCAUGUAACAGUCACAUGUCCGGCCACUAUUGUAUAAAAAAUAUCAAAAAAAUGUCAAAUGCCAUUCUAAUACUAAGUAUUAAGUUUAAGAACUAAUAAUGUAAUAAAAAAAACCUAUGGACUAAAUAACAUCACAUGAGUCAUUUAAAAAACAAAAGAAGAAGGAAGCGAUGUAAAACUCUGCCAAACUCAUUUAUAGGUUUCUUCUCAAAUGAAGAAACAAAUGUAUUCUACUAAUGUCGAAAACCAACAUAAAGGUGACAAAUAGAUAGUGGUGGGCCAUAUGAGCCAAGCAAGCAAACCUUUUAACCGGUUGAGACAGGGGUAUGUUACUGGCAAAAAAAAUUGUUGUGGGACCUCUCAGAAUUAAUAAUGUAUUCAGUAAGACCUUCUCUUGGCGCCAAAGAAAUGCAAUGGCACGAAAUGCAAUUGCGUGAAAUACUUCUGACGAUUAAGAUAUUUCCAAAUGGCUCGCGUGCCAAUGGUCAGGAGGGAUAUUUGUAAUAAAAACUUGGGCGUUAUUUGAUAGUUUUUGGAUGCCUAAAAGGCGUGAUCUAUCAUUUUGGCAAAUGGUGUGCUUUAAUUUUGUCAAAACCACACACUUUUAAGUUAUUAUGAUUAAUUGACGUAGGUGAGAUCAUAUUAGUAACUUUAAUCAACUAUGUUCGACUUAGUUGACCAUGAACAAUCAUAUAAAUAGUCCUUAUUAACAGUUGUAUAAAUAGGCAUAAAUAGUUAUAAUCGUUGGAAUCCACUAUCUGAUUAAUGGCUAUUAUGAGUUAUUAUCUUCUUAGUCCAAAAACAAAUUGAAAGAUAACAAUGAUCCAUAUCUACCACCAUCUUAUGAGCUAGCAUCAAGGAAUCGACAAUUAGAUUAGACCCUUAAUUAGUUAUAAUCGUCGGAAUUGACAAUUCAAUUUAAUUGUUAUAAUGAGUUGUUAUCAUCUUAACCCAUGGAGGAAUUGGGGAAUUCAUAGCAAGAUGAUCCAUAUUUACAACCAUCUACUUAUGAGUUAGCACCAAGGAAUCUAUAAUCAAAUUAGAGACUCAAUUAGUUAUAAUUAUCGGAAUCGACUAUCUGAUUAAUCGCUAUAAUCAACUAUUAUCGUCAUAGUGUUACAAUGCAUUAGAAAAUGCAUAACGGAAUGAUCCAUAUCUAUUACCGUUUUCUUAUGAACUAGCAACAAAGAAUCGACUAUCGGAUUGAACGCAUAAUUAUGUGGUAUUUGGUAAAAGGAUUUCGGUAUAGAGAAUUGGAAUAAACCUCAUAAUCAUUGUUUGGAUUACUAUUAUCGGAAUUGAAAUUUUGGAAUUAUAUAUAAAAAUGCAAUGGCAUUUCCCAAUUCCCUAGUAACUUGGAAGGUUUUGGAUAAAAGCCAAGUUUGAUUCCCUUUUAGAAACGGGGCUCGUCCCGCUACUCGUUAAAAAAAUUAACAUAUAAUAAUAAAUAUAAAUGUAAUUAUAUUUAUAAUUAUUAUAUACACAUAUAAUAUAUUAUAUAAAUAUAUAUUAUAAAUUUAUUAAUAUUAAAUAAUAAUAUAUUUAUAUUAUUUAAUUAAAUUCAUAAGGAGAGGAAUUAUCAUCUUAGGAGGUUUAAUCUUUAUUGCCUUAUUUUCUUUCAUCUUAGGAGUUUUAAUCUUUAUUACCUUAUUUUGUUUACAUGUAUAUUAGUACUGGUAUUCGUUUCAUUGAAUGUGAGUUAGUAAUAGUACUACUUUUCAUUACACGUGUACCGUGUACUUAUAGCUGUCAAAAUGGGUGAUUUGGACGGAUUUGGGUUAGGUAAAAUGGGUAAUGGGUAUAAAUGAAUCAACCCAUUGAUACCAAUUUAAUUAGAUGGGUAUAAAUGGGUAAGUCAAAAAAUGAAUUGGAUAACCCAAUUAUCCAUUUAUAACCCAUUUAUUUUAACUUAUUGUAAAUUCAUUUAAAUUCAUUUUUGCAAACUAAGUUAUCAAUUUAUACCAUCAUUUACACCCAUCAUUAGUUUAAAAUAUUUAUUUAUAAUACUCAAUAAACCUAAUUAUCAAUUUUUUCCAUAUGUACUAUACGUCGCAAAAUUACAUACUAUUUAAUAAUUAAACAAUAAGAAUAUAAAAAUUUGAACUAAAUACUAUAAAAGUUAACAUAAAAACUUAAUCCAAAAAUUUUGAACCUCUAGCAUUUUUUUGUGUAUAAAUUUAAAUUUUCAUUUUGGAAAAAUAAGAAAAGAGACUAAAACUUGUCAUAAAUUGAUAAUGGUGAAAAAUAAGCAAGUUAAUGGGUGGGGGAAGAGAGGAGGUUUGGGAUAAAAUAAUUCUAAAUAGGCUAAUUGGGUUUGAUGGGUUACCCAAUAAUACCCAAUUAUUUAAAUGGGUAUUAUUGGGUAAUCCAUUUAUACCCAUAUGCAAAAAUUGUACAUACCCAUACCCAUACCCAUUUAAGUACAAUCAAAUUUUUGUACUCUCAUCAGCCAUAACUGAACGGGUUUAUUUGAAAUAUAGCAGGGAUAAACACUUGGAAGAGGCCCUAACGUGAAGAAUGACUGAUGGGCUACGUUAUUUAACAUAUAGCAGGGAUAACUAAUUUCAGCAGGGAUAAACACGAUGAGUAAAGUAUGACUGAUGGGCAUGAAAAUUAAAUGGAAGAAGAAAACUAUCUAUUUCCUCCACCAAACAAAUUAGUAUGGCUGAUGCAUAAUUUAUUUAAAUUUUGAGAAAUACACCGUUUGGAAUGGAGGGGAAAAAAUACACAGUUUGGAAUCACAAUAAAUGGACUGUCAUGAGUGCCUAACUUCCAUUUGGUAUUCAAAUACUAACAAUUGGUAUUUAAAAAAUGCACUCUAUUUUAUCCAAUCAGAAUAAAUCCUUAUACUUUUUUAUUUUUAUUUGUUAUUAAUAUACUCAAUUUUUGGUAAUAAAAAGUAAGACAACAAAAAGGUAAAUUUGAAAUUAUAUUUUUUAAUAUACUCAAAAUGAAUUUUUUAAUAUUAUAUUUUAAAAUGAGCUGUAAAUAAACAAAUAGUUUAAAGUAAGGGGGCAAGUGAGUUUCAGACCCAAAAAAAAAAAUAGAGGCAAGUGAGAUUUUUCAAUAUUUGUGAGUGCCAAGUAAAAUUGUUAGAAACCUCCGGGGAGGUUUAUGAAAUUAUUCCAAACAAAAAUUAAGAAUGAAUAAGUUGUUUUUUAUAAUGGUUCUAAAGGUUCCUUGAGACUUUAUAAAUUAGAUGUCUUGAGUUUGCAAAAACAAUUUCUUGCAUAUCUUUGUAGUGGAAACGGAGUUUAAACUUGCUAUAGGUUAGUUUCUUGUUUUCCAUUGUAUCCUAAAAGGGUAAUUUGGCAUUCAACCUAAUUUUAUUCUCAUUUUAUCCAACUAAUAAAUUAGCUUAUGAAAAAAAUGGGAAAAUGGAUAAUUUAUGGAGAAAAGUCAUAAAGAGCUGGUGUUUUAUUGGAAAACGGGUUUAUUUUUAUUUAGUCGAUAAAUAAAUUUAUUUAUGGAAAAAUGGGUACUCUAUUCUUAUAAUGGAGGAAAGCCAUAAAGAGCUGUUGUUUUAUUGGAAAAUGGUUUUAUUUUUAUUUUAUCAGAUAAAUAAAUUUGUUUAUGGGAAAUGGGUACUCUGUUUUUAUAAUGGAGGAAAGCUAUAAAAAGUUGGUCUUUUAUUAGAUAACGGGUUUAUUUUUAUUUUAUCUGAUAAAUAAAUUUGUUUAUGAAAAAAUGGGUACUCUGUUUACUCUGUUCUUAUAAUGGAGGAAAGUCAUAAAGAGUUGGUCUUUUAUUAAAAAAUGGGUUUAUUUUUAUUUUAUCCGAUAAAUAAAUUUAUUUAUGGGAAAAUGGGUACUCUGUUCUUAUCAUGGAGGAACGGGUUUAUUUUUAUUUUAUUCGAUAAAUAAAUUUAUUUAUGAAAAAAUGGGUACUCUGUUUUUAUAAUGGAGGAAAGCCAUAAAGAGCUGGUCGUUUAUGGAAAAGUGAUACUUUACAGAAAGUGAUCGUGAUUUGGUUUAUGAAAUUAUCCAAAAAAAAAAAUUAGAAUGAAUUUAUUUAUUUUGAAAGUUGUAUAAUGAUCGUUAAAUUUCAAAUAUCCAUUCCUUAAACUUCAAAAUCAUCUCCACACAAUCACAAACUCCUAACCUUCCAUCUCUCUCCCUUCCUUAGAGUAAAAUUUCUAGUGAAUAAAUGGGUUUAAUAUGUAAUACCUGUGUUUCCAUUAAUUACUAUUUAUUUUUGGCUUUCCUCCAUAAACUGCUCAUUUUUCCCUUUUUCUAUGAAUUACUAGUUCUUUAUAUCACUCCUCCACGAAUUAUUUAUUUAAUUCAUGUUGCUAUUUUUCUUGGUCCGGUUUCGCGCUUCUUCAUUUUAUAUGUCUACAGUGACAAAUGGUGUCGGGUUGGGCAGCCCUACGUGUUCUUAUAUGUUAAAUUCAUUUUUUACCCUUCAAACAAUGUAUCAUUUUCUUUAGUUGGUCAAAUGAAAGCUUUUACUUCUACAACGGUAUCCAACCACUACAUCUGAAAUCGUGCCACUUCUUCUAAGUACAAUCCAACGGCUAUAUUGCACACAAGUCCAUCUUGUGGUUGAGAUUAAAUUUCUGCCACAACAGACAUCAGAAUUAUUUCUGUGCUGUAGACGCAUCCCUCAUUUAUAUAUGUAUUCCAUCUCUCUCUCUCUCUCCAAAAGAAAACCUAAGAACCAAACUUUAACAAAAAUUCAAGUUGGGUAUGGCGUGAUCCAGCAUAUGUCGAAGACAUCAAUUUCUUAUUCCCGGUUCGUCAAGAAGCAUGAAUGUAAUAGAUUCUACUUUCAAAAGGCUAGAAUCAAGACAAUGAAGACUGAUCUUGAUAAUUGUGCUCUUAUAGUUGCUUUUGUUCUUGGUGGUAAUCAACUGACUCAUGUGAUGUUAUUUAGUCCUUAGGUUUUUUUUAAUUACAUUAUUAGUCCUUAAACUUAAUACUUAGUAUUAGAGUGGCAUUUGACAUUUUUUUGACAUUUUUUAUACAAUAAUGGCCGGAGAUGUGACUGUCACAUGACCUUUUCCGGUCGCAAUUUGAAAAAAAAAUCGUCAAGGGUAUUAAAUGUGUUCAAAAUUUGAAAGUUUGGGUACCAGAUUUGUUUUUGUCCAAAAUUUAGGGACUAAAACCGCUCAUGUGUCAAAGUUUGGAUACCGAAACUGCAUUUUUCUCAUAAUAUUAGGUUGGAAAAAAAAUCACAACAGUUGGGUGAUUUUGGGAGUGUUUCUCCACUUAAAACUGUAUGUGGUAAAUGUAGCAAAUUUUGGCAAAUAAAAUAAUGUUAGGUUAGAAAAAAAAAAAUACAAAAAGUGGGGUGAUUUGGAGCAUAUUCUUUUUUUUUUUAAUGUGUAUCAGAUGUAAUUUAUUUUUUUAACAAAUAAAUUUUUAAGUAGUUAAUCGCCGCACAGCAAAUUUUUUUAAUGUGUCAGUCGUUGCAUGCGACGACACAAAGAAAGAUUUUUUUUAAUUACUAGUUAGUCACCGGUGACUGACUAGAAGAAUAUUUUUUAAAAAAAAUUUUGUACCAAAUGCUAGUAUGAGGGCCUCUUUUUGCAUGCAUCGACGGAAUUAUGUUGAUGUUGUCAAUAUUUUAUGCUUCAACUGGUUUCCUUGCUUAAAAUUUAAAAUAGAUAAUAGUAGGUAUUACAACUGAAUUGACAAAUGCUAACCCUAAACCCAAUCGCAUUUUGAUAAUUAAGUAGUUAAUUUCCUUUUAAACUAAAGUCACUUGUGCCUUAAUCUUUACUCUAAGGGAUAAUUUGAGAAGCCUCUCAUAAGGUUUUUGAUAGUUUCAUUUGGUAUUCUCGAAUUUUGAAAAAUCUUACUUGCCUCUCUUACUUUAAUGUAUUUGUAUCACUUUUAAAAUAUGAUAUAAAAAUUCAUUUUAGGAGAGCAAAUACAAUCUUAUUCCAAUUUUGCCCUCUUGUUGUCUUAGUUGUUACUACCAAAAUAUAAGAAUAUUAAUCACAAAUAAAAAUAAAAAUAAAAAUUAUGAAGGAAUAUUUUGAUUGGAAAAAAUAAUAUGUUUUUAAAUGCCAAGAAUUAAUAUUCGAAAGUUUAUUUGAAGUUUUUGCAAGUUACAAACAAAAUAUUUUCUUUAUUGUAAAGUGUUUUAAGUUAAUUUAAGAAAUUUUAUAAAUUGUUUACAUAUUUUUGAAUUUUUGAAUUUUUUUUGUCCAAAUAGAUUGCUUGAAAACUAAAAAGAUAAACAUGCUACAUAUAUAUAUAUAUAUAUAUAUAUAUAUAUAUAUAUAUAUAUAUAUAUAUAUAUAUAUAUAUAUAUGUUUGUAUUAUUUUUAAGAUGGGGCAAAAAGGUAUUCUCAUAAUUGUAAUAGUUUUAAAAGUAUUGAAAAUUAUUCAUAUUUUUAAAUAAUUUAAAAUUUAUGUUCGAAACCAAAGAUUUAAAAACUAUUAAAUAGUUUUUCGAUCUUGUUAACAACUUUUUAAAUUUCAUUAAAGAAAUACAUUGAUCAAUUUACAAAAAUUAAGUGAUAAAUUUGGUGUGUUAUAUCAAUUAAGAAAUCACAAGAAAAGGGCAAAUUUGAAAUUAAUUGUAUACUCUCUCCCUAAAUGAAUUUCUAAAUAUUAUAUUUUGAAAUAGGUUUCAAAUGUUACAAGAAAAGUUUAAAGUAGGGGAGCCAACUAAGUUUUUUUUAAAAAAAAAUUUUGAGGGUGCCAAAUAAGAUUGUCAAAAACGUUAGAAGAAGUUUCUGAAAUUAUCACUUAUUUUAAUCUAGCAUUCACAUCGACUAAUGCAUCACAUUUAUUCAUUGAUCAGAAAUAUUUAGAUGAACGCCGGUAGUUGUGAUUACUCCAUUAGAAAUCAAAUUCUCAAUACAUCACGUUAAAGGGACAACAUGGCCACUAUCUUGAUACAAGAAUAUUUCAUUCUAAUUCAACAUUUAUACAGCACUACAGAUUAAGCGCCUAGGCCCCUAACAAAUUAAUCCAACACAGGUGAGACAGUUGGGGAUAUGUUCCACCUCGAAACGUAGGCAGCCGCGGGAUCCAACGAGCUUCGCCAAAAACUACUAGAGGCCAACAUGGUGGUGUUGGCUUUCCACGUCUAGGGGUGGCAAUGGGGCGAGUGCCCGUGGGAGGACUAUUGGGGCGGGGAUUGGGGAAAGUUUGAAACAAAAAAAUAUAUAUAUAUUAUUAAUAAAAAUUAUUAAUUAAUUAUAUUAAAUAUAUUAAUACAUUUAUAUUAAAUUCCUAACUAAAUUUAAUACAAUAAUACUUUUUUUUUUCUAAAAAACACAAUAAUAAUUUAGUGAUUGUAUUUGUAUCAAAAGUAAAAAUUUGAUUAUUUUAGUUAUAUUUUUUUAUCAUAUUAGAUUGUAAUCAAAUAACCUUUGUUUAAUUAUUUUUUAUGAGUUUCGAUUGUGAAAUUACAAUGAAUAAUAAUUUGAUGAUAUGUUGAUAUUUUAAUACUUGAUUAUUUGCUCAAAUUUAAAUAUAAUGAAUUAUAUAAUAAAAAAAUUUUUAACACCUCGUGUGCCCGCACGGGGGAAGUGGCGGGGUGGCGGAAGUUGGGGACGAGGGUUAUUAAUAGUCCCCGACCCGACCCAUUGCCACCCCCACGUCGAGUUCAUUUUUCUAAGCCAGAUAUUCGAUUGGAGACAAAUAGGGGAUCAUAAAUUAAUGAGGAUGAGGUAGCCACAUCACAUUUAGCUACACCGUCUUAUGUGCAACCAUCUCCAUUUUCUACAUCCCAACAACCAUAUGGCGAGCAUCAUACGGUCUCAACUGGACUAUCAAGAUCAUUAGUGGCAUUUCCGAGCUUUAAUAGCGCUAAGGAACGAUCACAAGACGCUGCUCAAGAAAUUGAGGUGAAUACUGGAGUCAGUAAUGGCUCCAAAACUUCGCAAUUGGUGGAUAUUACUAUAGAAAUACAAAUUACACAAUUAACUAAUAGAGUGUGUCUAACCAACCCCCCCAUAGAACUAAUAGAGUGUGUAAACCUAAAGGAUGUGGGACUCCUGAAAAACUUGAAGGACAUAAAUGAUGCAUCAUUUUGUCUAUAGAACUAAACUGUGUACAUAGACCUUCAGAAGUAUGGCCCUUGGUUGCUAGGUGACUUGCUCUUCCUUUCCAUUAUACGGUGUUUUUGAUCUGGGCACAAUCCCAAACCAACUAAAUACACACCAAGUUCCCCGUUAGGUAUCACAUUAUUGACCAGUUCUUUUAGUAAUAUAAUAUUACAUUUUAUAAACCUUAAUCUAUCAAUGAUUGCUGAGAGAAUAAUUAGCUUUCAAAUAAAUCAAUGCAAAUAAUCAAAACAAGUACUUAUGGUACUUGUGUAAUUAGCGAAGUAAUGUGCCCUGCUAUGUAUAUUAAAUCUAUCAAAGGUAGUUCACCAGUAAAUGUCUUACCUUUUCAUGGGAAAGAAAGAAAUAUUUCCUAUACCUUUACAAGAGAGCACUAUUUUAAUGAUUUUCUAAGGAGCAGUCACGCCACAAUAGCAGGUGCAAUAUUUGAUUUUUAAGAUGGAAAAUUGGCAGUACUUUGGUUUUGAGAUCAACAUUAGUGUUACAUUACAAUUUUAAUCUAACAGAGAUAUUCUGUGAAAAUAUCUGGAGAAUAUUUCCACUACAGUUGAGUUUGUUAUUGAUUUUCUAAUAAACGAAUGAAUGUAUAGUAUGCCCUAAAUGCAUAUUUUCUUUCUUUUCUUCACCAUAUAGGAACCCACUCUAAAAUAACAAAUAAAAAUAAAUAACUAACUAUGUCAAUUUGGAAUCAAGUCAUUCAGCAGAAAUCAAAGUGAAAAUUUAAUGUACAUGAGUUUUUAUAAAAUGAGAAUUUAAUUGAAGUGCACCAUUGAUGUAUUAAUGGAGUUAUGCAAGAGUUCUCGCAUUUAUGGAAUGCGAGAUCCAUUAUGGAAUUGACCGAGUUCGCAUCCCUAAAUGCGAGGUCUAUUACCACAAAGUUUUUUAAUUCCAAAUUUUAAUAGACAUUGCAUUUUUCAAGAGUCAAGCUCUAUUUCCAUACAUUGUCUUUUAAAUUCAAAUUUUACAGAGUUAACAAUCAUUGAAUGUGAGGUUUGAGCUUCCUGAAGUUUAAAUUCUAAAAGACUUCGCAUUUAGUAAAUACAAAAUUAUUAAAGUUCGUAUUUACUAAAUGCAAGAUCUUAGUUUCACGAAGUUUUUAAAAAUUACAAUUUCUUACAUACCUCGCAUUUACUAAACGCGAGUUGAAUAAAGUUCACAUUCACUGAGCAUGAGGUCUGAGUCUCAUAAAUGUUUUUAAAUUCCAAAUUCUAACAAACGCGAGCAUUCAUUGGAUGUAAGGACCCCUUGGCAGAAAUAUUUCAUGAAAAGUAACACUUUUGCAGAAUAUUUUUGAAAAUCCAUCAUAAAGUUGGACAUUUUCCAGCAAAUUUCUGUAAAUAAUGUUUGGUUGGAAAAAAAAAAAAAACAGAAAAGUGGCGUGAUUUGGAGAGGGUUCGUCCACUUAAGGUUGUCGUAUUUGGUUUUUUUUUUUUUUUUUCUUUUGACAUGUAUCUAAUGGAAUUUAUUUUUUUAAUAAAAAAUUUUUGCAAAUUUUUUUAAGACACGGUAAAAAAUUUUUAAAAUGUGCGGUGACACAAAGAAAGAUUUUUUUUUUUUUUUUUAAAUUACUAGUCAGUCACCGCAUCUCUCAAUGCAGCGACUAACUAGAAGAGUUUUUUUUUUUCCAAAUUUGUAUCAAAUGCUAGUACGAGGGACCUCAUUUUGCAUCUAUCUAUGGAACUAUGUUCACGUUGCCAACAUUUUAUGCUUCCUCCUUACACUCUAUCCAAACAGACCUGUUAAACCCUUGGUUGGUUUUCUAAACUUUCAUCAAGAAGGAAACCAGGGAAGAGAAACAGUACACACUUCAGUUUUAAUGUUUGCAGUGUCAGCUCUUAAACUUGAAAAUUAAAGACCUACUUCUUGAUUAGAGCUCUGAGAUUCAUUACAACUUAUCAGACUUGUAAAAGAAAAGAAUUUUUUUUUUUAUUUACUCAACUUGUUGAGUAUUGAAAUUCAGCAUGCAGUUAUUUGCUUUCUUAUGUUUUUGACAGCCUAAUGUGCGGCAAUCUAGAAUAGUUCAAGACCAUGCAUGAGCAUUUCGCAUGCUCGCUUGAUGGUUGGGAAAAGAAUUUCCGCUCCAGGUCUCCCUGGUGGGUAGGCAAACCAAUGACGGUCUAUGAAGCUCGCUGCUAUGGGAGGAAAAUGAUGAAUAAUGGGAAGAAAAGUAGUAUAAAAGAGCAUAUCCCAUAUUCGAGCAUUACUAACGAGGGAAGCUCAAUAUUCGAAACAAAGCAAAUGCCGUUGCAUUUUGUUGGUUCUUCACGCUUGAAUACAUCAAGAGUCAAAACAAGGCCCCUGCUGCACAGCUAACAAAGCCUACAAUCACUUCACAUCUGGUGCUGGCAUGCAAAAGUAUGCAUGUACAAGACACAACAGAAAAUUCACAAACUGUGUAAUUUACAGUGAGGUACACUCCAAUAGCCAACAUCAGCUAAUUUUUGAUGAGUGCUUGUAGGAUCAUCCUUGAUUGAGCAAGAGGAUCACUGCGACAAACACUGCUGGCCCAUAUAUUUGGGAGUGGAAACAGUGUCAUCUCCAGUCCACUUAAUUGCUUUUCUAGCCGGUUUAUAGCAGUUGAAUCCAUGAGACUACCAACAACAGUCUGUAGGACACGAGAAGUAGCUUGUAAGAAAAUAUUACUGUUUAGGCCAAUGACAUGAAGGAUCCCGUGUUGUAGACUUCUCAACUUACCCAUAGACUACUGAAGCAGGCACUCAUAACCAAGCAUCGGAGGAGGUUUUCAUCAGAGCUGCCGAUAACUUUAUCACCGCCCACAGAAAAUGUAAGAUCCAGACAUGAAGAAUCAAUCAUAGAUCCAAAAUUUUUUACCACAACUCUUUUGUGCUGCCUGAUAAUUCUGUUCAAAUGGUCAAAACUGGAGUUAUUGGUUUUCCUUCUUACAGGAAUCUUCAAUCUCUGUGAAGUUCGUGCACAAGCUUCAGUUGAAAUAAAUUGAGUAGGCAGUCCAAGCAUAUUUGCAGCUCUUUCAUGGUUAGCCCAGCAACAACAGCAGGAUGAUCCAUCAUCUGCAUGAGAUUUUAUAAAAAGGGUAAUUGCAGAUAUCUCCCCACAUACGGGCCAAAUGAGGAGGGGAAAAAACAGCAGUUAUGUGGGUACCAUACCAAAAGAUGAGUAAUAGUUGAAAGAAAAAAUAAAUGAUGAAUGAUACUGAAGAUGAGAGUGUCAGGGCAUGAAACACAAAAAGUUCACAUGCAGUAAACAAUAGCUCCUCUUGUUCUUUGUUUUUCUUAUCAAUAAAUAAUAAAUCCUGUCUAAUUAUGGUGCAAAAGAUGACAGACUCGCAAGCAAGUAGUAAAACUACCGCAACCAGAGAUAGGCCGAAGGCAUUAACAUUUGAUACAGAUGAUCUAUUGUGGCUGUGCAAAACGCUUCUAACAGAAAAUCAAGUAUCAUUUUAUUUACUAAGAUGAUUUUGCUGUUCCUGCAGUGGCACACAUGGACGGAACUCCAUCAAACAGAGAACACAAGAAUUAGCAGCAAAAAGCAAUGACAGGCUUUUUAAUCGAUCUACGUAUCAAGCAAUUGAAAUCCGUUUCAUCCUAAGAAACAUCAUAAUUUAAUAGUAACACCGAUAAGGGUGUAGACAAUUGCUAUACCCAGAAUAAAACCAGCAAGUGGGAUCUCAACCAUCAAUGAACCAGAUUGCAAUCUUGUGCUUGAAUAGCUAGCUUUCUUAUUCUCCUGUAGAAUUAGGACAUGAACGCCAACAACCUGUCAAAACUGCUAUCUCAUAAAGGAGAACCAGAAGAUCAAGGAAAUAGACUAAUUUCCAGUAGAAUUGGUACAAGGAAUGAUCAAGCAAGAUAACAGCAUGUAGUGUGAGAUUCUAAUAGCUUGUGCUUCAGUUACCCUGCAAUGGAGUUGCAUCAGUUUGAUACCCGUGCCAUCUGUUACUUCAGAGAUCAAAGCUGCAGGAAAGGCACUCGGAGAAGUCGCAUAGCAUGCAACUAUAGAGUUGGCUACAGGAUCAUUCUCAUUGUUGCACCCAUUGUCAACAACAUUUACGGAAUCAAUCUCAAUGAAAGAUGCAGGAAUCAACAUAUAAUGAUUCUGUUGACUGCAAAAAGGAUGUAUCAAAUUAAAAGGUGUUGUCAAAGUGAUCCACAUAAUUAACAGGGAAAAAUCCUCCAUAACUGCAAGUACGGCACAUGUCAUGUGACACCAUUGGAACUUCUUGUACAACAUACAACCAGUCAUUCGCUAUGCAUUUCAAUACAUAAAUCCUUUUUUCUUUUUUCUUUAAUUUGGAAAAUCCAGAAGGCUAUUGGAAACUGGUACAGGCCAUGGAUUAAGAGUUUAGUUCCCAGUUUAAGAAUAAGCCUCAAUUCUCACCAUCCACAUCCCCACUUCCUGCUUCCUCCUUCCCUCCCCAUUCUAAAAAAUUUAAACAAAAGCUGGUUAUAAAUCCUCCUACAACUCUCAUACCACAGAAGUUGAAAAUACCAUUUGAUCAUGACACUUCAUUUAUGAAUUUCCAAAAUGUCGUAAAUAAUAACUGGAAUGCAUAUUUUGCAGAUGAUCAAAAAGUACUAGGAGAAAAAAAUAUAGUAAGAUGAAUGUUUCUUUUCUAUUUUGGGAAAAUAAUAUAUAUAUAUAUAUAUAUAUAUAUAUAUAGACACACACACAUAUUAUAGGAACUUACAUCAAGAGACCAAAAACUGGACUAUAUAAAUUCAAAGAACAUACAUUAGCACAUAAAUGAUAGUUUCCAAAUUAUGGAGCAGUUGACAGUAAAAACCGUAAAGUGCAUGUAAAUGAUGUAAUAUAUAAUGUAGGAAAUGAACAUUAGGUUCAGAGGGAUAACAUGUAUAAACUCAACAAAGCAUACCCAAGCACAAGAAUUCGGUGAAAAGUAGCAUGGACUCCUGUUCCGAACCCUGUUGGGUAAGCUUGCUUAUCUAGAGCACCAAAAAUCAUGGCCUACCAAGUCAAAUAUGUAGAAUGAAAUGAGCUACUAAAAGUAAUUCAAAAUUGUGAAAAAAGAUAAUUAUACUGGGAUGAAAUUGGGCUAUACCAUGUGAUAGUCCACAAGAGCAUGAAUGCAAAUUAUACUGGUUCCUUGAGAAAAUAUUGGCUGAUGAACAUUGACAGGACUUUCAUUCCACAAAUGUUCCACAAAAGAAGUACGACUAGAAUCAUGAAUGGCCACUAUUUGUCCACGAAAAGUGAGAAGAUUUCCUUCAGGCAAAAGAAGAUUAGAAUGACCAGUUUCAGGAGAAAGCACAGUGGCAGUAAUUGCUGUCCUGUGUACAUUAUAAAUGCCAAUUUCUUCUUCAAGUGAAGCUGGCGACUUCAUCAGACUAGUUUUAGAAUUGUUUGCAUCAAUCUUAAAGUAACUAAUGACAUCUGCAGGCACGCAUAAAUUGAAGUCUGAAUAGGAUUCAGGACUAAAACCAUUGAACUUAAGGGGUUCAACUUGAAAUUGCUGAGUAGUAUCAGGCGUAAUUUCAUCAUUGCUGACACAUGAAUCACUCUGUUGAACUAUAGGUGACGGAUCUGAAUUCUUGGCAACCACAUCAGAAGAGAAUGAUAGGCGCCAGAGACAUGUUUCAGAACUAACUAGUAUUACACCACCAAGUGCUUUAUCAUCAACCUUUGCACGACAGAGCACGUCAUUUUGAUGGUGCUUUACCAUGUAGAAAGCACCAAUUCUCAGUCUCUGCGGAUUGCCAAACAAUAGAUGUGAUGAUUACUAAAAGAGAUUCAUCAUCCUUAUUGCAAAUAACUACGUAAGAAGGAAAAGAGCAACAUACUUGAUACAUGUUCAAACUUUCAGAAUCAAACUCCAGGAAAACCCUUCUUCCAUCUGGAUUGCACCCGGAACUUGUCACUUCCUUUUUGUCUGUGCAAUGCACAAGACCUUGGUAAGGACACUUAAUACUUCUACUAGAGAUCAGACAAGGAAAUUUAAGUGGACAACUGGCGUCACAGUGUUUUCUCUCGGUACAGAAGUCAGUGCAAUAUGAAUCAUUCGAGCAGCCACAGGUCAAGUUUGCAGCCUCUGAUAAUCCAGAUUCCUGGGCCUGAAUUGAGACUGCAUCAGUUUUACAUCUCUUAAGAUGUCCAUAUAUCUCAUACUUUACAUUUUUUAAUUCAUCUACGGGAACCACACCCAAAUGUGCAACAUCAUUCUUCUCAGGCAAAACCAAAUCCCAGGGCAAAAUUGCAACCUCAGCAAAAGCACUUGAUUUGUUUGAAAUGAAUUGAUCUCCUAGACACUAAGAAAACAUGAACUUUACAAAUUCAGGGGUCCACAAAACAGAAUCAAUGGCAUUAGAAGGUUAACUUGUAGCUAAAUCAGAGCAGAUACCUUAUGAAGCAAUGGAAAUUUGUGCUUUAACAGAAGUAGGUGAAAAUUUCCACCCUCAAACUCCUGAAGGCUUUCUUUAGACUUCUUGCUAGAAAAAGAUGAAUGACAUGAUGUUUUUCCUCCAAAAUGAUAGUAAAGGAAAAGCGAUAUUUUUGUCUCUCUCACUAGUGGAGCAUUCUCAAAGAUAUUCCUACAUGUCAAUGGUUCACUUGCAAGUAAUUUUGAACAGUCCAGAUAAUCAGGUAUCCCUUGCAUUACUAUCGUGAAGUCUUCCACCUGAAAAGAAUGGUACGUCCCAAAUAACACCAAUGCUGAUAAAAUUCUUUAAACAGUUUAGUAGUACCUUUAAGAGAAUCGAAAGUCUAAAAAGGAAGCCAAAGAAGAUUGUGGAGACAUCAUCACCUCAUAAACUCUUUUCAAAUCCCAGUUUGAUGGAAUGUCAGGUAUAACAACAUCAAUGCUUCCAGUAGCAUCAACAAGCUGCAACCUCCCAGAUGAUAGUGGAACCUGUAUAAACUUCAUUUCACCAUAAAUACAACAGAAGCGUUCUGAAUCUUCGAUCAAAUGCAAUACAAACAAUGUAUUCUCAGCUAUUAAUUUCAAUUGAUGCAAUAAAAACUUAUGAAAAUUAUGAUCAGUGCCAGGCAACGCUUUAUUCAAAUAUAUUCGAAUUGCAAUACUACAACUACUUCAGAAAAAUGAGGAUGCAUUCCACCUCACAGUAGAUGAUAAUUGUUUAUAAAGGGACAGGAAGAAAGGACCUUAAGACAUAAACUUGAAAAUGCGUGUGCAACAGAAAGGAAGUAGAAAUAUGUUUUUUUGAAGUUAAUGCCUAAAGCUAGUAAUCUAGCAGGCAAAGCAUCAAAGUGACAAGAACUUCGCCACUAGAUACAAUGAACAGCUAACAUCUUGCAAUAUUCAAGAAUGUAUGGGCAUAAGAAUCAGAGCUUUCUAAUUUUAUAAGUUAUCUUUCCUCCUAUCCCAAAAAGUUGGACAUUACUGGGCAAGUUUGCAGUUCACCUUGAUGGGGUUGACAUUCCAUAUACUGGAAUUAGUUGGGAAAAGUAAAAUUUGCAAAGUUGUCCCUUGACUUUUGUGUGAGACUUAAUGAGAGCCAACAUAACUUAGAAAACAGAGCAUACUUAUAGAAAAAGGUGAAGGAUAGGUUGAUGAUGAAAGAAAAAUAACCUCCAGUUUGAAAAAGACCACAUGGUAAGAUUGUCCUUUUCAUGGGACAGAAACACAUGGUAGAGCAGAUACAGAAUAUGCUAUUUAUGUUUGAUCUUUUCACCUCUUUGUGCCUGGGAGCAGCUCUCAUGUUCUGUGCUGAGAGAAUCAUCCCAUAUGCACUAUUCUUUAUUACCCAGACUAGAAAUAAAAGUUAGAGGUGCUUCCAAUUUAUUUGCUUCUAAAAGCUUUAGGAUCAAGAACAAGUCCCUAACAUCAAUUAUAAUUGUAUUAUCUAAAACUAAACCCAAAUAAUGGGGUUAUCAGAGAAGGAAAAGGAAAUAAUAUUUGUAUUGGACCUUUAGAUUUCCAAGUAAAAUUACACCAGUAUCUUGAAUUUGAAAAGUUUUCCUUAUCAGGUUUGCAUAAGAUUUUCCACAGCAGGAUAGAUAGUAUUUCUCCCUCCUGCUAUUGAUAAUAUCAAAUUCAUCUUCUGAGUCCAACAACAUUUUGAUCCAUCUGUUCUCAAAAUCGCUCCAUAAACAAGAAAUGGGUACCACCUGAAAUUGGUAUAAAACCAAAAGUCAGUUGCGUUUUGCUCGGAUAUGAAAAUAUGAUAAGCUAUAAAACUACAUAAGAGAAGCGAAACAUAGAAACAACAAACAAUUAUUAGUUUAGACUUACUAAUUUGAGAUGACUAUAAUCCUCUUCCUUAUGAUAAGCACACGAACCAUGCCUGCAAUACUCCAAGAACACUCCGUGCUGCUAACAGAAACUAGUGAUGGGAGGUGAAAACAUGUAAAACCAUUAACAAUCUAUGUUUUAACAGAGACAUGCAGAAAUCUUACCCGCAUUUGGUAGGCAGAUGCAGGUAGAUGUGAAUUGGUAUAUGUUUGAGCUAGUCCUACCUCCUGGCAACACCUUAUAACUGCUCAUGUCAGCUUUCUCAAUGACAUGCAUAAGAACAGAAAGUAGCCUUUCCGGCAGUAUUUAGAUGUAAAGCAAUCAAAAACCAUGAAAUUCCAACCCAGUAUUUACAUGUUUUGAUCCUAAUAUUUCCUUCUCAGACAAAAUCCCAGCAAACUUUUUCCGGAAACAUGUGACAGUCAGUAGUACCCUGAAGCAAAAGAGCAAAGACGUUUUAGGCAAACUCAUCCAUGGGCAAAUGAAGAAAUUACAGAAAAGCUAUUCUACCAUAGUCUUGCUGGAAACACCAUUGAGUCGACAAAUUUCCGGAGAGAGUUUUGGGAAUGUGAGUUCCUGUGGCAACUGCAAGAUGGAAAUAAUCGUAAAGGUGAAUAUGAUAUCGUUAUUGGUUCAUUAUUAUGACUGCCUUUUUUAAGUUGUGUGGCUAACCCUGUUUCCAUUGGAGAAAAUGAUUCAACACAAAUGCAUGUCAUGAAGCAGGUACCAAGCAAAAGUAUCUUUGUCCAAGAAUACUUCGCGCUCACAAAAUGAACAUUUUUCACAGAUACCUGUGAAGGGUGUACAAGUUAUGAAUCAAUGCAUUCUUCUAUGCAAAGUGAGACAUUUAUCAACAGAAGGACUUCAACUAAGUAAAAGACACGAGCAUAGGUGUUGAAGCAAAAUCCUCAGGAUCUUCUAGCAUUUCCAGGCAGGUCUACAUCUAGAAAAAGCAGAAUAAAUUGAUAAGGCUAAAAUGGUAGCACACUUACAAUGGCACCAACUCUCAAACUAUGUGGUACCAUCAGCUGGUGGUCUGUUAACAAAAGAAGCACUCCUUGAUCCAACUCCACAACCAUGCCCUGCAUGUAAACCCCGGUAACGGUUCCAGCAUAGCUGCCAACCUCACCAAACCCUCUCACCUCAGCCUUUUCUUUUGAAAUAUAUUUCUUUGCCAUCACAGGAAGCCGCAACAAAGCUUUAUCGGUGGUUACAUACAUCAGUUCGGAAUCAUCCUUUCCAAUAUAAACCAACUUCUUCUUCAAUCCAGAGAGUGAAAUAAGAUUCCCUAUUAAUCUCACCAUCACCGGGUGCCAAGAUGAAGCAGACCCACAGAAAUAGACAAUCAAACAUUUCAAAAAGCAAUGAUUUUUACAGCUCUCAUCACUUAAAUCUCUCAAUGCCAAUAUGGUUUUCCGAGACCUACAAAAUUCGCACUCACAAACCAAGAUUUUUACAAGAAACCCGCAAAUAUUUCUCGAAUCACAUCUAGAACUACUACCACCUGUCGAACAUGGAACUACGGAUACAGGACUUAUGGAUUCCAGUACACCAAAUAGCGAAUAUUUAACCUUUGAAUCAUCCUUACAAUCAAAUGCACCCAAACCUAAUGAAAAUUCAGUCAAAUUCGAAGAAUAUUCUAUGAACUCCCAUCUAAUAAUCUCCAAAAACCCACUUAACCUACACCCAACUCUCAAAGGAAUAAAAUUCCAGGCGCAAAUGCGGAUCUUUUGACCUAUCAUUUGCAGCUGAAAAUCAAGGACGUCGCAACAAAUUGUGACAGAGCCAUCGGUAAACUGUAAGCAGCUACAUUCAAUUGUGGAAACAUCAUCAUUAUUCUUGUUGGAGUGUAACGGCAGGGAUACAGCUCCGAUGAGAAUUGCUGGGUGAUUCAAGGGUUUCAGGAGUUUAAUUGUAGGGUUUUGCGAGGUGGGUUUAUUAAAGUGCAUGGGAGGCUCAUCUUGCGGUUGGGGCGCUGAAGAAGGAACAUUACCGCCCGGAGUGAGCGAGGAAACGCCGGUGAGCGGCCGAGCGCAGCUGAUGAGAUCGGAGAUUUUGAGGAUAUUGGCGGUUUUGCCUUCCAUCCAGGAAUGUGCUUUUUUUGUUUUGGGGGGGUUCAUUUUUCCCGGCAUAUUAUGAGCGGGAAGGAGGCGUCUUUCGAAAGCUUUGUGGCAUCUGGAAGUUUCAAUCAAGAGGCCCAAGCCCAGUAAAAAUGUAGUGGCCUGGCCUCUCUAUUGAGUUGCUUGAUUCUUGUUCGGCCUAUUUUAUUUCCCGUAACUUUUGGAUCAAUAUAUCUGUCUGAAGGCUUCGCACAUGUGAUCCAAUAUAAGACUUUGUAGGUAUAUCUACAUGUAGUAACGGGCUUAGGCCUACUCUGAUAACAAAAAAAAAAAAAAGAAUCGACCAAAGUGUUUUAAAUUUACCAAGUUUGUUGCAUUAAUUCCAGAGUGCAAAAUGAUCUAGUAUAGAAUACGACAAGAUGACAAAGAAAAACACAUUUGAGGUUGGGACUGAUAAAUACUAAGGCUGUUUGAAAUAUAUUAUUUGUCAUAAUUACUAUAAUACUUUUUGUGAUUAAAUAUAUGCAAAAAAAAAUUUAGUAGAAAGAUAAAAAGUUAAUUAAGAAUUGCAUUUGUGAUGCAAGUAAAAUAAUAUUUGAAAAAAAUUUUGCUAUCCAAUUACACUCCAUCAUGUUUUGCAUAUAAUGACUAUUUAGAACUUAGAACGGGUCUGUUCUAUUUUUUUUUUUUGGAGGUGAAAUUUGUCAACACAAAUUCGAAAUGCCAAGGAAAAUAUUGGAGUACUUGAGAGUUGAACAGAAAUCUCAUUAUAUUAUCUAACUAAAAUCCAACCAUUGUAUGUCAGGGACAUCCCAAAUAGAGGAUCAUCUGGCUUAUAUCUGUUUUUACAUAUGCAUGGUGAGAUUUUGUAAUCAUUUGCUCACUGAUUUUGUUGUUGAAGAGUGGUAAAGGAAGCCAAUGCUCUCCGCUUCCUAUGGGAUAAGAUUAUGGUCAUCAAUCCUAUGACAGUUUUGAACCGGUCAAAAUCCCGUACAAGAAGGGAAAAGAUGGCAAUAUAUAUAUUGUCCAUGUUUAUCUUUCUCCCCAAAGACAGAGAUGGAUUGCCGAAACUAUCACAUAAGGCCUCCACCCAGCCUGGAAUCUUCAGGCAGCAUUGUAAGCUAGAGAGCUGGACUUGCGAUGUCUUCUGGAUUCCAAAGUUCAAAUUCACAUAUGAUACCUCAUUUAUCCGACACCCUGGGAGCUGACAAAGAUGAUAGAUACCAAGGGUAGUUUCGAAAUAAUCCAGAAAGCAGUUGUAGAGGUAGAUGAAGGGGGAACGAAGGCUGCAGCUGUUUAAAUUAUGAGCCUCCUCCAGCGUAUGAAUUUGUGGCUGACCAUCCUUUUCUCUUCAUGGUAAGGGAAGAGAAAUCUGGGUCGGUGCUGUUUAGUGGAACCGUCUCGAAUCCUCUCCUGCAGGAAUGAAUGAUCUCUGUCAAUUACUGAUAGAUGGUAUACUAAUAAUUGAGGGUGAAGGUGAGGGUGGUACUUGCGUAUAUUAAUCCAACCUAGCUUGGCACGAUUAUUUUGAGCUUAUCGUGGCAAUGGAGCACAACGAAUUUUCCUAAAUUCUUUUUUAGUUUUAUUUUCUCGUCUGGACAAGUUAAUCAAUUAGAAGGUUUGUUUUGUCUUUGCAAAAGAAGGGCCAUUUUGAUUAAGAUCUGUCUUCCAACCUGUUUCAAGUUCUUUAUUUCUACUUGUGCACAUACAAAACAUGUGCAAACACGAAUAUGCACAAAAGGCACCUGUGGAGGCCAAUUGUGUAUUUGUCCGCCUCAGUAACGGGUGCUUGGAGGGAGGCCUCCCCAAAAUUCGAACCCUGGUCCUUUGGGAUAAGGGUUUUGGGGUUGAAGUUCUGAUAACACAAUUUAUAUCCGUACGUGGGUUUGAAUUUCGAAUAUAUGAUCAGGUUGUAAUUUUCCUGAUCAGAUGGGUCGAUCAACUCUUAACUGGGCCAGUUAAUUUCUAGUGGGUCUCGCACCAGGCCCAAGUCAAUUUAAUCGAAAAUGUUCUUAACUUCUUGAUCCAAUGGGCCGUUCACAAUGGCAUUGGACCUCGCACCAGGCCCAAUAAAUAUUUUAUCAAUGUAUGGCACAAAAUGUAGUAUCUCAAUAUGUCACCAUUAAUAUUAGGGUCAGGACUGUCUUAUUUGUACGCAUCUUGUUUAAGGAUGAAAUGAACUGAAGCAUUUUAUUUCCUUCCUGCGUAUCUAUUACACGUGUCACUGCUGCAUUAAAUCCCUAUGUAUUACAUACGUACGAAUACUCGUAUCCUAUCCAGUGCUCUACGUUGCGUAUAUACGUAUGUUCCUGUGCGUGUGGGUCCCACUUCAUUGUCCAAUGGAAGGGGUUUCACCAGGUCAGGGGUUCGACUCCUCCUCCUCAGCUGCUGCUCCCGGUGGAGCUGGCAUCGUCCGCAGCAUCCUCUGAAUCCGACAGGGUUCCCUUCAGCUCCUCUACCGCCCUGAACAGCAGGUCUAGUUCGCGGAUGAAUCGCAGGCUCCCCAUGCGAAGUGCAAAGUACAUGCCCAGGAGCACCACGUGCUCCAUGCCGCAGUCUCUCGCGACCCUGAAGAAUCCUGCCAUGUCCCUCACGUUUGCCAUUUUAUUUCUGCUCGUCAAAAUGCACCGUAUCGACCAGUUCACUGGAAUGGGCAUGCCGAGCAUGGAAUGCUCCGUAUUUAUCGUCUUAUCCCUCUGCCACGUGUCGCGUGUGGGGCCCACAGGGCCGGGGACACGUGUCAGCCAUCCCGCCCCAAGCGGGAGUGUUCAAAAUUUGAAGUUCGACGUGGGGGGGAAAAUUCGAAAUUGAAUUUCGAAUUUGAAUUUUAAAUUCCAAUUGCAACAAUGCCUCCGGGUAUUGUGCUGCUCCACCUACUCGCACUGUGCGUCAGUGCGGGGCUCUGCCCUCCCGGGCGGCCAGUGGCCUUUGGCCACAUGGCAAAGAAGUACAGCGGCCCACGUUCCCGCGGGGGAUACGUGGGGGGGCCCUCCAACCAAAUGACAAAAAUGCCAUUGGGUUGAGCGUACUAAUUACCACAAUAUCAUUGGGUUGAGUUGAUCUCAACCGUCCAAUGUACUCCUGGGGGGUGACGUGGCCCUCCUAUCCGCCGUCCACGUGUCCGCCCCGAGCGUUUUUGUAAUAUUAUAAGACACUCGGAAGACCCCUAUAUAAGCCAACCCAUUCUACCCAAUAGUAGGGAUACUUUGUAUUGGGGUGGGUGACGUCAUCAGGUUGGGUUGAGCUUCAAUAUGCCCAGAGCACCUUCUUCCUUCUUCAUAAACGUGAAGAACAUAUUCCUCACCUAUCCCAGGUGUGUUCUUCCCAAACAACAAGCAUUAGAUGCAAUUAGGAACAUCUAGUUCCCUAUUUCUCUCAUUUAUGUGCGGGUUACUCAAGAAACCCACCAAGAUGGUUCUCCUCAUCUACAUUGUCCGCUUCAAUUCGAAAGUAAAUUUCGCACUGAAUCUGUUAGAUUCUUCGAUAUCAAAUCCCCCACUUCAAAUUCGAUGUUCCAUCCGAAUGUUCAAGGUGCCAAGAAUUCAUCAACAGUUAGGGAUUACAUAUCCAAAUACGGUGAUUUUGUCGAAUGGAGAGAGUUCCGGCCAGAUGACCGGAGCAGAUUCUCAUCUGACAAAACAGAUGAGGUAUAUGCCGCUGCGCUUGCCGGGUAAGAUAAGGGAAUGGCUCUCAAUAUCAUCAAGAGGGGCGAUCCUCGAUCGUUCAUUAUUCAUUACGACAAAUUGUCCAGCAAUCUGGACAGAAUAUUCCAGAAGCCACCAGAACCAUACGUGGCUCGUUUCCCACAAUUUGAACGCGUUCCUUCAUUCUUGAUCCAUUGGGCCGAUAAAAAUGUUACUGGGCCUGAUGACAGACCACACAGGCCCACGUUCAUAAUAAUAGAAGGCCCAAAUCGAACUGGUAAAACAUGUUGGGCUAGAAGUCUUAAUCCUCAGACCCACAAUUACUAUGCAGACCAUAUUGAUCCGACCCAUCACUCUGAUAAUGCAUGGUACAACGUCAUAGAUGACGUAAACCCUCAGUUUCUCAAACACUGGAAAGAAUUCAUGGGUGCACAACGAGAUUGGUCGUCCAAUUGCAAAUAUGCCAAACCCAGGAAAAUCAAAGGGGGAAUUCCGACAAUUAUGCUCUGCAAUCCUGGUCUCAAUUCUUCAUAUCACGUCUAUUUAAGUGAACCACACAACCAGGAUCUUCUCAACUGGACUAAGAAGAAUGCUGCAUUCUUCUUCCUGGAACAACCCCUCUUUGCACUCACAAACCAAGAGUAGGCACCAAUUGUCCAAGAAGUUCAAGAAUUGGACAACACCAACUAAGUCCUAUUCCGUAUCCAGGAUUUCAGCAUUUCCUGAUCAGAUGGGUCGAUCAACUCUUAACUGGGCCAGUUAAUUUCUAGUGGGUCUCGCACCAGACCCAAGUCAAUUUAAUCGAAAAUGUUCUCAACUUCUUGAUCCAAUGAGCCGUUCACAAUGGCAUUGGGCUCGCACCAGGCCCAAUAAAUAUUUUAUCAAUGUAUGGCAUAAAAUGUAGUAUCUCAAUAUGUCACCAUUAAUAUUAGGGUCAGGACUGUCUUAUUUGUACGCAUCUCGUUUAAGGAUGAAAUGAACUGAAGCAUUUUAUUUCCUUCCUGCGUAUCUAUUACAUGUGUCACUGCUGCAUUAAAUCCCUAUGUACUACAUACGUACGAAUACUCGUAUCCUAUCCAGUGCUCUACGUUGCGUAUAUACGUAUGUUCUUGUGCGUGUGGGUCCCACUUCAUCGUCUAAUGGAAGGGGUUUCACCAGGUCAGGGGUUCGACUCCUCCUCCUCAGUUGCUGCUCCCGGUGGAGCUGGCAUCGUCCGCAGCAUCCUCUGAAUCCGACAGGGUUCCCUUCAGCUCCUCUACCGCCCUGAACAGCAGGUCCAGUUCGCGGAUGAAUCGCAGGCUCCCCAUGCGAAGUGCGAAGUACAUGCUCAGGAGCACCACGUGCUCCAUGCCGCAGUCCCUCGCGAUCCUGAAGAAUCCUGCCAUGCCCCUCACGUUUGCCAUUUUAUUUCUGCUCGUUAAAGCGCACCGUAUCGACCAGUUCACUGGAAUGGGCGUGCCGAGCAAGGAAUGCUCCGUAUUUAUCGUCUUAUCCCUCUGCCACGUGUCGCGUGUAGGGCCCACAGGGCCGGGGACACGUGUCAGCCAUCCCGCCCCGAGCGGGAGUGUUCAAAAUUCGAAGUUCGACGUGGGGGGAAAAAUUCGAAUUUGAAUUUCGAAUUUGAAUUUUAAAUUCCAAUUGCAACAGUGCUUCGGGGCACUGUGCUGCUCCACCUACUCGCACUGUGCGUCAGUGUGGGGCCCGGCCCUCCCGGGCGGCCAGUGGCCUUCGACCACAUGGCAAAGAAGUACAGCGGCCCACGUUCCUGUCGGAACGUAGGGGGACACGUGGGGGGGCCCUCCAACCAAAUGACAAAAAUGCCAUUGGGUUGAGCGUACUAAUUACCACAAUGCCAUUGGGUUGAGCUGAUCUCAACCGUCCAAUGUACUCCUUGGGGGUGACGUGGCCCUCCCAUCCGCCGUCCACGUGUCCGCCCCGAGCGUCUUUGUAAUAUUAUAAGACGCUCGGACCAAUCACAGCACGCCACUUGCUCAACCCAGUCUACCCAAUACAAUGGAUACUUUGCAAUGGAUGGACUGAUGUCAUUCUAUUGGGUUGGAUGACGUCGAGCUGGUGACUGUUUACCAUCAUCUUCCUUUCGACUGGGUCCACUGUUUCUAACCAGUAACACAUAACCCAUUACCUCCCAAACAUCUCAUCUUGGUCAAAGCCAAGAUUUUAGGGCAACAUUCAAUGGAAAUACCAAGAUCUUCCAGAUUCCAAGCUAAUCUGUCCAUAUGAUGCAAGAAUUGUACUUCGAAAGUGAAGCACCUUCUUCAUUCCCAAUGACAUUUUAAACGACCCAUCUGAUCAAGAAAUGUUAGGCCACUUACACGGAUGGCCCACGCUGCGAUAGCCCUAAUUCUAUUCAUUUAUCUUCCCCAGCAAGCGCAGCGCCACACAGACAGCUCGACUUGUCAGAUAAGAACCUUCUCGAACCACAGGGUUCGACAUAUAUAGAAGUUAUAGAAUUGCCUCACAUACAACAUCGCAUCGAUUAGAAUCGAUGCUUCAUUACAGAGGGAAUGAAGAAGGUGAAUCACCUUCGAAGUACAAUUCUUGCAUCAUAUGGAUAGAUUAGCUUGGAAUCUGGAAGAUCUUGGUAUUUCCAUUGAAUGUUGCCCUAAAAUCUUGGUUUUGACCAAGAUGAGAUGUUUGGGAGGUAAUGGGUUAUGUGUUUAAAAAUUGAUUACGUUCAAAUAUUCUGGACAGUUUUUCCAGCACUCGUAACAAUCAAGCAGGUGUUUAAAAAAAAAAAAAAAGUGCUUUUCGAAACAGAAGAGAACAUUAGUAAUGGUAUAGCAGGGCAUUUGUAUGGACAGUGAAAGACUUUGCUGUUUUUUGGUUUCUCGAACGGGUGUUCUCAUCGAUCAAAAGGGAUUCCAGAACUGUGCAGUUAAGAAAAAUUCAAUUGAGUGUGCAAAUGUACUAAUCUAGUCUAAAGUAGGAUAAUAUAGGUAUUACGAAAAAAAAAUAAACUCCACGUGUUAAUAUUAGUCUGAGUGUCAAUUUGAAAAAAAAAAUGUUGAAAUCAGACAAGGAGAGUGUCUCGAACCAGAUAGUUAGGAUAAUGAAUAUGAGUAUCCAACAAUGAAUGUGGCAAUAACAAGUGCACAAUAAAAACCCUAAUUCUUUCGUUUAAUAAAUGCUCAUCAACUAUAGGCAAUUUUUACCAUAAUUACGGUGGAUUUUAGUAAAGUGUCUAUAAAGCCCAAGCCAAAACAGUGGAUUUUAGGAAUGAGGUACCGGUUCUAUCUCAUCUCUUUAGUACAUGUAUCGCAUUCAAUUAAUCACUAGUAGUGCAUGCUAUGAAUUUUUACAUGAUUAUGAUUGUUGGACUUAUUAAACCAAACUCAGUGAUUAGUAGUGUCGUUAGGAUUGGAAUUGUUGUUUGCCAGAUUAUGUUGAUUUAGGAUGUAAAGUUUACUGUGUCUCGGGGUCAGAGUUAGAAAA